UUGUGUUUGAUUUGUUCUUCUUAGGAUUCUAGGUGAGCGAGAUUAGGAUCCAUUUCACUGGUUUCUCUGUUCAGAUAUGCCAUUGGUAGAUAUGUUUAGUCUCUGAUCCUGGAUGCAACAUUUUUCAAAGCUGAAGUACAUUCACACGUACCUUUCUUUCCUUCCCUUUCUGCUUGGGAAUCAUUCCGACAACGCUGAACCACGGCACAUUAUUCAACCACGGCCACCUCCGGAUCGACUUUCCAGUAGUUAGUGUCGUUGUACUCCUGCUGUAUAUUCUCAUCAGUGCUCUCCUUUCCCGGCGAGUCUGUGGCGCUGUUUCUCUUCAUUGGCCCUGCCUCUCCCACUAUCCCUUCCUUUAGAAGAGCUUGAUCCAUUGCCCUCUCGGUUCCUUCUGGCUCUACUCCCACAUACUCAACGUCUUUGCCAAAAAACGAAGGCACAGGUGGUGAUUUUGGGCUUACCUCGCCUUCCGAGGAUGACGAUCCGUUUGGGACUCUCACAUCAGGUAUCUUCAUGUCAUCUGCAGGAAAAGGAUCUGUCACCUCUGCAGCGGAUGAAGAAGAAUCUCCACGUUCAACCAUUUCAGGUGACGAUUCACCUGAAACCACAUCUUCAUCGAUCUCGAUAUCUCCGGGUACGGUGUUUACAGAAACUGCGUCUGAGGUCGAAGCUGUGGCUACAAAAGGGUUCUUGCCUUCUGUAAUCAAACAGUCUUCUUCAUCAUUUUCAAUUCCAUUACCGGAAGUUUCAUUCAAGCUUACAUCUUCCAUUGCUUCCUCUGAACGAAUGGCCCCUGUUCCUGUGCUGUCACCCAACUCAUCUCCUUGGAACGUGAACCAGUUCGAGUUUGUGAAUAAAUUGCUGCAUCAAGAAAGAAGAAAUAAAACCGUUGGGAUUAAAAGCUACACAACAAAUGAAUUAACAAGCACCCCUCCAUGGUGGUAUAUAUAUAAAUCAUAUUUGGAAGCUUACUUGUUCUGUUCCUCACCAAGCCUUAGAGAUGAUAUAACAACUUCAGUAGAUUCGUCAUCUAAGUACACAUCCUACCAAAUAUGUUGCAGUCAAGAGUCAGGACUAUUGUCGACAGUGUUUUCUUUAAACAUUGAAUGAAUAUAUUAAUAAUGAAUACCUCUUCGUCUCUGUCAUUGGAACCAUGAUCCUGGAACCAGAAGCGUUGGAUUUAGAUCCAGCAAACAUUUUAACAAAUACUAACAAGAGAGAUUAGCAAUUACCUCCCCAGCACCAUUGUUCUCUUGCAUGUUGUAUCUAAAAUGGUUCAAGUUAUUAGCUAAACCAGCAAGGUCAUAAUCCCUGUCGUGAACUUCAUCAUCGUCACUGUCCCUACUCCUAUCUUGUAAUGCAGUUGGGUUUCUGCAUGCGAAACAAGUAAAGUGAUUGUUAUCAAGAGGAGAUACUAUGCUAUCUAUCUAUAAACCCAAAGGUGCUAAGACCAAGUUUCCAAUGAUAUCAACUUGCAAGAAGAUAAAUGAGACUGCAAGCCCAAGAUGUGAGAAGAGACAGCAUACCCACAAACCCAGCGAUAAACAUUCUCAACUGCGUUUCGGUCAUGCAAUGUAUUAGCUUCCCACUCGCCCCAUUCGUUAUGUUCCUAGCAAAGGAAAACGGUAAGCACCAGCAAGUUGUAUCUACCAAACAAAUUGCAACUAUUUGUACAGAAGAGUUUAGGUAAGACAAUGUCUCAAUAUUACAAGAAAAAACAUGGUUAUACAUGGAUUAAUUUAUUAUGAACUCAUUUUGAUGGGUUUUGCAGGAAGAACACAAGUAAUAGCACAAUUAUUUAACACAACUUAAAUGGUUAUAUGUAGAAAGAUAAUGCUUACAACAGUAAAUUCGCAAUCAUUGUUGCUGAAAAACGAACCUCAAGUGAAGUCUUUAUUAGGUUAUUGUUAGUCGACAGCUGAACAAGCUUGUUCGAAAUUCUUGAAAUAUGACCAAUAUUUCCCACCCGUGGAGCCUGCUUUCCAGCAACAGGUAUCGUUGGCUGCAUGAAAGCAGAAUCAAUGUAGCCUAUAAAUGAGUACAAUAUCUGCUAGAAAAGUGGAUAUAACACGCUAUUUAUCUGAAAAAAGAGGUAUAACAUUAACUACGUUAUCUUUGCAUGUAUACGCUCUCUUGACGCCAUAUAUUUAAAAUAUGUAUCACAGUACUAAGCACACAAAUAAGCAUGAGUGAAACAGUUCAUACCUGGUUUUCACCAGAAAGGAUUGGCUGUUUCUCUAUUUUAAGAAUUUUUCCAAUCAAAUCACACACGUGGAGAAGAUGGUCAACAAUCUCAUCAUUUUUGCUCUCCAAACACGAUACUAUUGUACUCUCCACCUGAUGGUGCAGUGCAUUAUUAUAUGGGUACCUAGCAUACGAAAAACGGGUAAUUGAGAAGUUGGAUUUAGCCAAGAAAAACAUAAAGACUUGGGAAGUACCAAACAAAACAAGAGUUCGUAAUCAAGUCACGAAGUAGUAUUUACUCGAAGAAUAGAUCAAGGACUCUUCUAAUAGCUCCUGAGCUCGCUAGUUCUUUUCCUGUAGCUACACUUUGCGUUUUCAACAAGAUAGCGAUGAACUCCACGAUCUAAGACAAGCCAUCAGCAAGACAAAGGUAGUCAGAAGAAAAUAAUUGAAUAGAAAGCACACAGAAGCGUAUAUGUGUAAUUUCAAGAUCUUAUGUGCCCAUCUUACAGUCAGACCCUAAAGAUUAUUAAAAUUAAAAUUUCACAAUGACCUUCAGGCGAUGACUGCCAAGAGGAGGUCUCAACUGUCCAUACGUUAUAGGUAACACCUUUUCAUCAGAGGUCGCGUUUAAAAGUUUGACAAAGUCACCUACAGCAAAGAUUUAAGCCUCAAAGAGAAGUUCAAAGAAGAGCUCCAAGCACAUAAAAAGCAAAAGGAGCCAAAUCAAUCAAAUACGUUCAACAAGAAUGAGAGCUCUAAUCAAUCAGGCAAAAAAGAACAAAGCAUAUAUCCAGAAACUGCUAAUAAGAACGUGGAAUAAAAGCAAAUGAACAAACAAAUAAAAAAAAAGAUUUUAAUUCUCGUGCAAACAUGCAUUAGUAACCUUAAACAGCAUAAGUGAACAUAUGUUGGGAUAAACCAAAAAGAUGGAACUGGAUCCUAUCCGUAUAAAAGGGAUAUUAAUGUUGUGAUAAAAGAACAAGCAGCAGAAAAAACAAGAAACAGACAUGCGACACAUGUAAAGAACAUAGUGGUCAUUUGUAGUUUGUAUCUCACUAACCAAGCCUAGGCAGCAUGGUGGCAAUAGUCUCCGGAUUCACAGAAAUUGGAGACUCAAAGAUUUGUUGGCCCCUGAAUGAAUACAUAAAGGAAGAAGAAAGUAGAGAUCUUCUUGGGCUUAACAAUGAAAUGCACACCGAGAGUGUGUGGACAAGGCUAGAUUUGGACUGGGGAUCUCCGAAAGCAUGGCCGAAUAUCCUUGCAACAAAACUGCAGACAAAAAGAUCACUGAAAUUAUCUUGAAAAAUAAGUAUGUUUCUGCUUUAGGAUAAAACAUCAUGCAAACCUACCUUGAACUGGAGAGCUUCGUAGCCAAAGGUGAUGGUGCAUUUUGUGCAAUAGUGCACAGUGUUUCAGCAGCAUUUGCAUGAACUUCAAGAAAAUUCUGAUAAAACAGAGUAACAAAGAAAAUCAGAAAAUACUUCUUGUUUGACCGAAACAGUAACCACUACAGAGUGUUCUCUUUACCAUAUUUAUAGAUUCAGAAGUAGAUAACCCAAUCACCGAACAAAGAAGACAAUAGAUGUGCAAGCACGGGAGUCCAACUAUCCUCUCUAUAUAUCUUAUAACGCACAUGCUUGCUAUAUUUCAAUCAUUUGUAGCAAAAUAUUAGCCUUGUUCUUUUUACGAACGCUGUUCCCCAGCGUCAGUAACUGAAAAGUACAUCUUCGCGAUCGGAAAUGCAGCGCCGUUAACACAAGACAAGCAUACUUUUUCAGCCGCGCGGUUAGACGCAAUAACAAAAUUAGACACUGGAAAUAUCAGCGAUAGCAGCGUCUUCAUUUUUAGUCGCUGCGGCAAGCUCCGGUAGUUUAAUUCACUUUCAAAAUCGAUCAUCUUGUCUCCACCCAAAUGUUAUUCUUUGUCGCUACCGCCGGCCGCAGCGGCUAUGAAAAGAACAGGGCUAUUGUAUACUUACUGAUGGGCUAAGCUUAUCAACGACCAUUUCAAGCAGAUUGCUAUCAGCUAACCAUUGCAUCACAUCCAUGUGGUUGGGAUAAACAUGAUCAUCCGCACCAACCAACCGAAUUAGAAUCUAGGAAAAUCAGAUCAACAUUAGCUUAAAAGUUAUUACCAGAUCAUAUGUAAGGAUAAGAGGAAAGGGACGGUUUACCUCCAUAUUGGAUGUAAUCCCUAUCAAAUCAACCAGUUGGUGGAAAACAUUCUGAUGGCUCUGUAGAUGGUAUUGUAAAACAUUAGUUACUAUAUUUAUAUUGACUGUACAACAGACAAUUAACCCAACAAGUUCCGGAAAAAGGUGCAUCUCAUAUGUUCAACUACUCAAGGAUUGUCUGGAUUUCAGCUUACUAUGCUUUCUGCCAAACAAUCUAAUUUUCAACAAGAUCUUAGUAUGGGAUAUUUAUAAAAUAUCGAGAUAAAACUCACUUUUACAUAGUUCAUCAACGGCACCGUCUUCUUCAACGUGGAACCGAAAUUCGCACUGUCGAUUUCCAUUUAAAUUAGGAAAGUUAGGAAAACACUAAUUUUUCAGAGGUCCCGGAUAUCUGCUAAACCACACGCCAAACAAUCAGAACACAAAAUAAAGACAAGAAAAAUAAGAAAUCGAAAAGAGAGCAAAAUAGAUCUUAUUCCGAAUCUGCGAGAGUCUGGGCUACGAGAGCUGUCGGCGAGAUUCCUAGUUCUAAAAUCCCUAGACUGCAAGACCUAAUUGAGCCGCAGCUCGAAUAACAAAAAAAGAAAAUUGCCUAAAAUUGCUCUAAGUGCUCAGUUUUCUUUGAAAAAGUUCUUUAUUUGUGCCUCUCGCCUAGGACUCCUUAUAUACUCCCUCCAAGGUCGGUUUGAGCUUUUCCCUUCCUGCCCUUAAGCCGUCAAAACUCGAAAAUGGAGAUAUUCCAUUUUUCGCGGAAACUUAACAUUUAUUUGCGGAAUCUUGACAUUUAUCCUUUCUUGUGGACUAAAUAAAAACCGCCAUAGUAUCUAUGAGUUUUUCCUUAAAAAAUAGUAAGUGGGUUUCUAAUCGCGUUUUAGACCUAUUUGGGCAGUCUUUCGAUUCAAAACGUUUAUCACGAUUUUUAUCGAUAAGAAUGAACUUUCCACGAUUUUUAUCGUAAAGUUUAAAUGAUAACUCCAAUCGAUGGGAGUGAGAAAUGAUAUGACUACGGUACAUAGAGCUAGUAUUGAGGAACAGACGAGAAUGCACGGAUUUGGGUCGUACCCGUUGAUCGAUGACCGAGAGGCUUGGUCGGUCGCUACGUAGCGACCGGCUUGUUCGCGGGUCGGUCGUUACGUGGCGACCUUGUUUGCAUAUUUUUCCGUCGUUUCAUGAACGUGUUCGUUAGUUUCGAUAAAUGAACCAAGAUUGACGCAAUAUUUCACCGCAAGACUUUUCGUAAAAGUAAUCUUUACGAAGAAUACUUUUCGUAAAAACGUUCAUGUUAAAUUUUACUGAUAUUUGGAUGUUAACUUCGUCGUGUCCGUUUUUGACCCCAACGCCCCAGCCCAUUAGAAUCGUGGAUUGUGACGAGAUUCUAGUGCGCGGUUUGGCGAGUUAGGCAAGAUAGGCGUGUUGGACGAAGUUUAUAUUCAAAAAUUCCGCGGAAAAAUAUUGAUGAAGAAAUAUAUAUAUAUAUAUAUAUAUAUAUAAAUCAAAAUCUUAAACUCCUACCUCUAUAAGUAGUGAGCUCCCAUCCUUCAUUCCCUUCACACAUUUCUUUCUUUCCGAACUCUUUCUAGCUUCUUUUCUCACUUUUAGCUCUCAAGAUGUCUUCUUCCCAAAACGACAAGAAGAGUUCUGAUGCUGAGAUGGCUGAGGCCUCCUCCCAGGCGCCGGGGUCAACCCCUUCCGACAACGCUCCGGCCUGUGUCGCCGGUUUCCUCUCUUUCCGAGAGAAGAUGGCUCGUCGUAAGGCUGAGAAGGAAAUGGCCCGCGCCGACGCCGAUCUCCCGUCCUCUUCCGUUCUGGUUGUCGCUCCGACUCACGAACUCGAGGUUCAGGUUCCGCAAGGUACGGGAGCGCAAGUCAAAACGGGCAUCCGUUCAUGCCAGAUGCUUUGGUGCAGCCUUCUGGAUCGUCUACGACUCCGAUUCUCAUCGAGGGCAACGAAAAGGCCACUGAGGCGAUGCCUCCUCCUCCAGCUAGGAAGGAGAUUGUCCUGGCAUUGCGUGCUCCUAGCGCUACUCCGAUUGUUCAACCAAAGGGCCGGAAGAGAAAGUGUGUUAGGUGCAACGACGGGGAAUCUUCGCAGCAUGAAGGAUUGAAUCUGGCGUCAGGACUCCACGAAAAGGUUUGUUCUUCACUUUGGCUUUUUAUUCUUAGAGCGUGAGGUCUUGUUUAGCCCUGUUUUGCUCCGCAUCUCUAAUUGUUUUACCUCAUCUCGCAGUUUGUGUCGCUGAUUGAUGGGAUGAUCAGCGAAUGCGGUUCCGAGGUCAGUCGUCUUGCGAGAGAUUUGACCGAGAUGCAGGACCUGCCGAUCGAAGAAGGGUCAGAGUCAAACAUGGAUGGGUUCAUUCCAUAUGUGCCUCGGACGAAGAGAGAUAGGUUGAAGCCUCGCAAGGACAAACAUCCUAUGGUGGAUGAAGACAUGGUUGACGGGCAGCUUUCUCCAGACAACAUACUCAAGGACUAUCCUGACAGUCAAGCUGGUGGAAGCAGCAGCGAGCAGUUUAAUCUCAAAGGGUUGCUCGAAUUCGAUUUUCCUCCGACCGAGGGUGGAUCCAGCGAAGUGCCAGAGUUUAUCAAGGCGGCGAGGAUGGUCAAUGGGGUAGGUUCUCAUCUAUGAACAUUCUCGGAUUUUUGUUUUGGCCAAAGCUUCCUUGACUUUGAGAAUUUUCGCAGCACCUUCGUAUGAUAAAUCGAGCCCUUGACACGAGCAAGCAAGAGGCUCACAUGGCUCGAUUCAAUGCUGGGGUGGCUGAUAAAGAGAUUGCUCGUCUGAACGAUGAGUUGGAAAGUUCUCGUCGUCGUGAGAGAGAGUCAUUUGAGAAGGAGGUCAACCAUGCCUAUAGGCGAAGGAAGAGAGAGGUGGUCGAAGUUAUGAAGAAACGUCGUUAUUAGUUCUCCCAAGAAUUUGGAGAGCUCAAGGGGCGUUACAAGGCACUCGCGGAUUAUCGCAAGUGUCGUGGAACGGUGGGUGGUUUGUAUCUUACGCAGCUUCCUGACUACUCGUAUGCUGGCGAGUAUGCGACGCAGACCGGGCGUUUGGCCGAGAAAGAUAAAAACUUUGCAAUAUAUGAGGUCGAGGAAAAGAUUUGGGAGCAAUGGGAUCCGGUUCCUGUUUCUCCCGAUACGGUAGAGGCCGAGAUGGGAGACCUUGGUGAUACGGGAUACCUUGGUGAGACGGGUGAGGUAAACCAGCCGGUGGCUCCGCUCGAUGGCUCCGCUCGAUGGCAACGACUACUCGAUCGGAAGCUCGAUGAGUGGGAACUUUGACCUUGGCGAUUGAUUGUUAGGUUUGCUAUGAGUCGUUCUAGAGAGUAUUCCCUUAACUUUGUAAUUUGUUUCUGUUAUUUGUUUGCUUGCUGGCCCAGUAUGGCCGUGUUGUUUUUAUGUAAUGGGACUGGCCGUGUGUGGCUUCGAAUCCCCGGCUUUUGUGUUUGGACCAUGCUUUUAUAAAAAAGGAGGUUUUCAAGAAUGUUAAGAUUUUUGCUAAGUGUAAGGGGAAGGAUCCGAGUUGCCAUCUCGUCCAUCGCCUCUCUUUGUGGAUUGUCAAACUUAUUUCUCAUUGAAGCUGUGAGAGCGUUUUUGGUAUAGACGAAGAGACAUGCUUUCAGGAUCUCAUAUCUUUUCGAUAUCAUGCCUUGAGACGUUAGAGACCAGUGUGCUAGGUUUAGGGUAAGACCUACAUUUACUUUCGGUUAAAGGCUUUUGCGAUGACUAAUCGGCUUUUGUUUUCCCUGUUGCGAUUUUAACCUGACUCCAUUCCGCAUUAAAGUCCGUGAUAUGUUCUCGGCUUAUACGACUUGUAUGGUACGAAUCGAGCAUCUUCUCCGAGUCAACUGGAAGUGAGAAUUAGCCUUACACUCAGAAGUAGAAGCACUGCGAUUGGCGAUGGAGAAUAUUCUUCAACAUUCACUAUGCCAGAGUUUUGGGACAGAUUGUAAAGAGCUGAUCGUCAUGAUCAAAGAACCUCAUGCUUGGCCAAGCUUUCUAACGGAAUUAGAGAGGAUAGAGACUCUGCAGAUAUACUUCCCGGAUUUCAAGAUCACUCAUGUUUCACGAGCGCAUAAUCAGAUAUCAUACUUUUUAGCUAAAACUGCUAGAUCUUUCCAUCGAGAACUAUGUUUUAUUAAUUACCCAUACCACCUCAAGUUUGAGUAAUAGAAUAGUUUUUCGCUGUAAAAAUAAUAAUAAUAAAAUAAAAUACACACGUCCUAGACUAAAAGAAAUUUUGACUUGCUUUUUUUUUUUAGCUUCAAUUUUAUUUUCUAGUACUCCUACGUUCUACACGCCUGCGCCUUCUCUAGAUAAUGGCGACAACAUCUAUUUCAACCUAUGGCGUAAUGGAAAGCUCUCUAGAUAAUGGCGACAACAUCUAUUGCCACGUAUGGCGUAAUGGACAGCUCCACUUCACUUAUUACAUACACUUUACAUCCCUCGGAUAACCCAUGUGCAUUAAUCACACCGGUUCUUCUUCGAGGAGACAAUUAUCUGAAUGGGCGAUGGAGGUUUGGAAUUCUCUCCAAGCUAAACAGAAGAUUGUGUUCUUGAUGUUUGUAGGAUGGAUACGAACAUCUACGGAGCCUAGGUUUGAUCCAUAGUUUCUCUUCUUCCAGAUGAUUUAAAACUAUGGGAUUCUCUCAGUCGACACUCAAGAACAUGUUGUCCAUUCUGUUUGCAGUUGGUGAUUUCAUUCUCCAUAAGAUGCUUUCAUACAACAUAAUAGCCUUGUUCUUUUUACGAACGCCGUUCCCCAGCGUCAAUAACUGAAAAGUACAUCUUCGCCAUCGGAAAUGCAGCGCCGUUAACACAAGACAAGCAUACUUUUUCAGCCGCGCGGUUAGACGCAAUAACAAAAUUAGACACUGGAAAUAUCAGCGAUAGCAGCGUCUUCAUUUUUAGUCGCUGCGGCAAGCUCCGGUAGUUUAAUUCACUUUCAAAAUCGAUCAUCUUGUCUCCACCCAAAUGUUAUUCUUUGUCGCUACCGCCGGCCGCAGCGGCUAUGAAAAGAACAGGGCUAUUGUAUACUUACUGAUGGGCUAAGCUUAUCAACGACCAUUUCAAGCAGAUUGCUAUCAGCUAACCAUUGCAUCACAUCCAUGUGGUUGGGAUAAACAUGAUCAUCCGCACCAACCAACCGAAUUAGAAUCUAGGAAAAUCAGAUCAACAUUAGCUUAAAAGUUAUUACCAGAUCAUAUGUAAGGAUAAGAGGAAAGGGACGGUUUACCUCCAUAUUGGAUGUAAUCCCUAUCAAAUCAACCAGUUGGUGGAAAACAUUCUGAUGGGUCUGUAGAUGGUAUUGUAAAACAUUAGUUACUAUAUUUAUAUUGACUGUACAACAGACAAUUAACCCAACAAGUUCCGGAAAAAGGUGCAUCUCAUAUGUUCAACUACUCAAGGAUUGUCUGGAUUUCAGCUUACUAUGCUUUCUGCCAAACAAUCUAAUUUUCAACAAGAUCUUAGUAUGGGAUAUUUAUAAAAUAUCGAGAUAAAACUCACUUUUACAUAGUUCAUCAACGGCACCGUCUUCUUCAACGUGGAACCGAAAUUCGCACUGUCGAUUUCCAUUUAAAUUAGGAAAGUUAGGAAAACACUAAUUUUUCAGAGGUCCCGGAUAUCUGCUAAACCACACGCCAAACAAUCAGAACACAAAAUAAAGACAAGAAAAAUAAGAAAUCGAAAAGAGAGCAAAAUAGAUCUUAUUCCGAAUCUGCGAGAGUCUGGGCUACGAGAGCUGUCGGCGAGAUUCCUAGUUCUAAAAUCCCUAGACUGCAAGACCUAAUUGAGCCGCAGCUCGAAUAACAAAAAAAGAAAAUUGCCUAAAAUUGCUCUAAGUGCUCAGUUUUCUUUGAAAAAGUUCUUUAUUUGUGCCUCUCGCCUAGGACUCCUUAUAUACUCCCUCCAAGGUCGGUUUGAGCUUUUCCCUUCCUGCCCUUAAGCCGUCAAAACUCGAAAAUGGAGAUAUUCCAUUUUUCGCGGAAACUUAACAUUUAUUUGCGGAAUCUUGACAUUUAUCCUUUCUUGUGGACUAAAUAAAAACCGCCAUAGUAUCUAUGAGUUUUUCCUUAAAAAAUAGUAAGUGGGUUUCUAAUCGCGUUUUAGACCUAUUUGGGCAGUCUUUCGAUUCAAAACGUUUAUCACGAUUUUUAUCGAUAAGAAUGAACUUUCCACGAUUUUUAUCGUAAAGUUUAAAUGAUAACUCCAAUCGAUGGGAGUGAGAAAUGAUAUGACUACGGUACAUAGAGCUAGUAUUGAGGAACAGACGAGAAUGCACGGAUUUGGGUCGUACCCGUUGAUCGAUGACCGAGAGGCUUGGUCGGUCGCUACGUAGCGACCGGCUUGUUCGCGGGUCGGUCGUUACGUGGCGACCUUGUUUGCAUAUUUUUCCGUCGUUUCAUGAACGUGUUCGUUAGUUUCGAUAAAUGAACCAAGAUUGACGCAAUAUUUCACCGCAAGACUUUUCGUAAAAGUAAUCUUUACGAAGAAUACUUUUCGUAAAAACGUUCAUGUUAAAUUUUACUGAUAUUUGGAUGUUAACUUCGUCGUGUCCGUUUUUGACCCCAACGCCCCAGCCCAUUAGAAUCGUGGAUUGUGACGAGAUUCUAGUGCGCGGUUUGGCGAGUUAGGCAAGAUAGGCGUGUUGGACGAAGUUUAUAUUCAAAAAUUCCGCGGAAAAAUAUUGAUGAAGAAAUAUAUAUAUAUAUAUAUAUAUAUAUAAAUCAAAAUCUUAAACUCCUACCUCUAUAAGUAGUGAGCUCCCAUCCUUCAUUCCCUUCACACAUUUCUUUCUUUCCGAACUCUUUCUAGCUUCUUUUCUCACUUUUAGCUCUCAAGAUGUCUUCUUCCCAAAACGACAAGAAGAGUUCUGAUGCUGAGAUGGCUGAGGCCUCCUCCCAGGCGCCGGGGUCAACCCCUUCCGACAACGCUCCGGCCUGUGUCGCCGGUUUCCUCUCUUUCCGAGAGAAGAUGGCUCGUCGUAAGGCUGAGAAGGAAAUGGCCCGCGCCGACGCCGAUCUCCCGUCCUCUUCCGUUCUGGUUGUCGCUCCGACUCACGAACUCGAGGUUCAGGUUCCGCAAGGUACGGGAGCGCAAGUCAAAACGGGCAUCCGUUCAUGCCAGAUGCUUUGGUGCAGCCUUCUGGAUCGUCUACGACUCCGAUUCUCAUCGAGGGCAACGAAAAGGCCACUGAGGCGAUGCCUCCUCCUCCAGCUAGGAAGGAGAUUGUCCUGGCAUUGCGUGCUCCUAGCGCUACUCCGAUUGUUCAACCAAAGGGCCGGAAGAGAAAGUGUGUUAGGUGCAACGACGGGGAAUCUUCGCAGCAUGAAGGAUUGAAUCUGGCGUCAGGACUCCACGAAAAGGUUUGUUCUUCACUUUGGCUUUUUAUUCUUAGAGCGUGAGGUCUUGUUUAGCCCUGUUUUGCUCCGCAUCUCUAAUUGUUUUACCUCAUCUCGCAGUUUGUGUCGCUGAUUGAUGGGAUGAUCAGCGAAUGCGGUUCCGAGGUCAGUCGUCUUGCGAGAGAUUUGACCGAGAUGCAGGACCUGCCGAUCGAAGAAGGGUCAGAGUCAAACAUGGAUGGGUUCAUUCCAUAUGUGCCUCGGACGAAGAGAGAUAGGUUGAAGCCUCGCAAGGACAAACAUCCUAUGGUGGAUGAAGACAUGGUUGACGGGCAGCUUUCUCCAGACAACAUACUCAAGGACUAUCCUGACAGUCAAGCUGGUGGAAGCAGCAGCGAGCAGUUUAAUCUCAAAGGGUUGCUCGAAUUCGAUUUUCCUCCGACCGAGGGUGGAUCCAGCGAAGUGCCAGAGUUUAUCAAGGCGGCGAGGAUGGUCAAUGGGGUAGGUUCUCAUCUAUGAACAUUCUCGGAUUUUUGUUUUGGCCAAAGCUUCCUUGACUUUGAGAAUUUUCGCAGCACCUUCGUAUGAUAAAUCGAGCCCUUGACACGAGCAAGCAAGAGGCUCACAUGGCUCGAUUCAAUGCUGGGGUGGCUGAUAAAGAGAUUGCUCGUCUGAACGAUGAGUUGGAAAGUUCUCGUCGUCGUGAGAGAGAGUCAUUUGAGAAGGAGGUCAACCAUGCCUAUAGGCGAAGGAAGAGAGAGGUGGUCGAAGUUAUGAAGAAACGUCGUUAUUAGUUCUCCCAAGAAUUUGGAGAGCUCAAGGGGCGUUACAAGGCACUCGCGGAUUAUCGCAAGUGUCGUGGAACGGUGGGUGGUUUGUAUCUUACGCAGCUUCCUGACUACUCGUAUGCUGGCGAGUAUGCGACGCAGACCGGGCGUUUGGCCGAGAAAGAUAAAAACUUUGCAAUAUAUGAGGUCGAGGAAAAGAUUUGGGAGCAAUGGGAUCCGGUUCCUGUUUCUCCCGAUACGGUAGAGGCCGAGAUGGGAGACCUUGGUGAUACGGGAUACCUUGGUGAGACGGGUGAGGUAAACCAGCCGGUGGCUCCGCUCGAUGGCUCCGCUCGAUGGCAACGACUACUCGAUCGGAAGCUCGAUGAGUGGGAACUUUGACCUUGGCGAUUGAUUGUUAGGUUUGCUAUGAGUCGUUCUAGAGAGUAUUCCCUUAACUUUGUAAUUUGUUUCUGUUAUUUGUUUGCUUGCUGGCCCAGUAUGGCCGUGUUGUUUUUAUGUAAUGGGACUGGCCGUGUGUGGCUUCGAAUCCCCGGCUUUUGUGUUUGGACCAUGCUUUUAUAAAAAAGGAGGUUUUCAAGAAUGUUAAGAUUUUUGCUAAGUGUAAGGGGAAGGAUCCGAGUUGCCAUCUCGUCCAUCGCCUCUCUUUGUGGAUUGUCAAACUUAUUUCUCAUUGAAGCUGUGAGAGCGUUUUUGGUAUAGACGAAGAGACAUGCUUUCAGGAUCUCAUAUCUUUUCGAUAUCAUGCCUUGAGACGUUAGAGACCAGUGUGCUAGGUUUAGGGUAAGACCUACAUUUACUUUCGGUUAAAGGCUUUUGCGAUGACUAAUCGGCUUUUGUUUUCCCUGUUGCGAUUUUAACCUGACUCCAUUCCGCAUUAAAGUCCGUGAUAUGUUCUCGGCUUAUACGACUUGUAUGGUACGAAUCGAGCAUCUUCUCCGAGUCAACUGGAAGUGCUAAACCAAAAUUUCGGAUUUUUGUUGUAGCGCGCUUUUGUCCUUGUGCUGGACGUUUUUAAUAGCGACCGACUCGAUUGCGGAUCGGUAGCGACCGACCAAGAGGCUUGGUCUGUCACUACGUAGCGACCGACUCGUUAGCGACCGACCGAGAGGCUUGGUCGUUCGCUACGUAGCAACCGUCUCGUUGCGAAUCGGUCGCUACGUGGCCGAUGACCGAGAGGCUUGGUCGGUCGCUACGUAGCGACCGGCUUGUUCGCGGGUCGGUCGUUACGUGGCGACCUUGUUUGCAUAUUUUUCCGUCGUUUCAUGAACGUGUUCGUUAGUUUCGAUAAAUGAACCAAGAUUGACGCAAUAUUUCACCGCAAGACUUUUCGUAAAAGUAAUCUUUACGAAGAAUACUUUUCGUAAAAACGUUCAUGUUAAAUUUUACUGAUAUUUGGAUGUUAACUUCGUCGUGUCCGUUUUUGACCCCAACGCCCCAGCCCAUUAGAAUCGUGGAUUGUGACGAGAUUCUAGUGCGCGGUUUGGCGAGUUAGGCAAGAUAGGCGUGUUGGACGAAGUUUAUAUUCAAAAAUUCCGCGGAAAAAUAUUGAUGAAGAAAUAUAUAUAUAUAUAAAUCGAAAUCUUAAACUCCUACCUCUAUAAGUAGUGAGCUCCCAUCCUUCAUUCCCUUCACACAUUUCUUUCUUUCCAAACUCUCUCUAGCUUCUUUUCUCACUUUUAGCUCUCAAGAUGUCUUCCUCCCAAAACGACAAGAAGGGUUCUGAUGCUGAGAUGGCUGAGGCCUCCUCCCAGGCGCCGGAGUUAACUCCUUAUGACAACGCUCCGGCUUGUGUCUCCGGCUUCCUCUCUUUCCGAGAGAAGAUGGCUCGUCGUAAGGCUGAGAAGGAAACGGCUUGCGCCGACGCCGAGCUCCUGUCCUCUUCCGUUCUGGUUGUCGCUCCGACUCACAAACCCGAGGUUCAGGUUCCGCAAAGUACGGGAGCGCAAGUCGAAACAGGCGUUCCAUUCGUGUCGGACGCUUUGGCGCAGCCUUCUGGAUCGUCUACGACUCCGAUUCUCAUCGAGGGCAACGAAAAGGCCACUGAGUCGAUGCCUCCUCCCCCAUCUAGGAAGGAGAUUGUCCUGGCAUUGCGUGCUCCUGGCGCUACUCCGGUUGUUCAACCAAAGGGCCGUAAGAGAAAGUGUGUCAGGGGCAACGACGGGGAAUCUUCGCAGCAUGAAGGAUUGAAUCUGGCGUCAGGACUCCGCGGAAAGGUUUGUAUUUCACUUUGGAUUUUUAUUCUUUAGAGCGUGAGGUCUUGUUUAGCCCCGUUUUGCUCCACAUCUCUAAUUGUUUUACCUCAUCUCGCAGUUUGUGUCGCUGAUUGAUGGGAUGAUCAGGGAAUGCGGUUCCGAGGUCAGUCGUCUUGCGAGAGAUUUGACCGAGAUGCAGGGCAGACUGUCUGAGUCUGGAGCCAUGUUGAAAGCUCUCGAGGAUUCUCAUCCCGCAAAGGUGUCUAAGCUCGAGAUUCAGAUCGGAGAGCUUGAGAGGGACCUUGGGAGAGGGACCUUGGGAAGACAGCGAGUUCUUUGCUUAAGGAGAAGAAAGCCAAGAAGACCAAGUCCUUGGAGGUACGUCGACUUCAGCGUCAGAUCGAAAGUGGUGAAAGGUCGGUGAGCCGUGCGGUCGAAGAGGCCAAGGAUGCACUCCGCGUUGAGUUUCAGACCCGUUUGGCGAAGAUUCUCGACUUUCUGGGCUCCCCCGAGUGCAUUCGCAGCAGGGGUUUGGCCCUGGCGACUAUCGAUGGUGGGAUGGCCGUGGUUCAGGCACUCCAGGGUGAAACCCCUUCGUCCUUGCAGGCCGAGGAAGCCAGGUUGUCUGCUUGCAAGGGAGAUCUGGCGGCCGUGGAUGGAAGUUUCGACCUUGUCUUGGCCGAUCUAAAGUCCGAGUGUUUCCUCCCGAUGUGUUCAGAAGACCCAGAGGGGCAAGAUCCUGUGGUCGGGGAAAAUGGAGGCGAGGCGAUGGGUGAAGGGGAGGUUUAGAUUCCAGAUGACGAUCACGGUUAUGAUCUCGCUUGAGAGAUUUUUAUUAUUUUCUUUUUGUUAUGAAUUAGUACUUGCUCCGGCCUUGUAUGGCUGUGUUUAUGUUUUGGGACUGGCCGCUUGUGGCUUCGAAUCCCCCCCGUAUUACGGCUUUUUAUGAAUGGAUAUUCAGUUUGCGUUUAUGUGAGUAAGUGGAUGGUGUAGAAGGAAGCUUAUGAGUUGUCAUCUCAUAUCUUUCUCCCAAAUGAAAUGCUAUAUUUGUGGCUCGUUUCGAGAACUUUCCACAAGAUUCUAACCUCGUGGGAUUUCUGAGGACGUUGAAUAUAAGCAUAGAGGCAUGGUUUAGGAUCUCGUAUCUUCGAUAUCAUACCUUGAGAUGUUAAAGACCAGUGUGCUGGGUUUAAGGUAAGACCUAGGUUUACUUCUGGUUUUAAGGGGUGCGAUGACUAAUUCGACUUAUGUAUCCUGUUACAGUUUCGACCUGAUUCCAUACCGAUUUAAAGUCUGCGAUAGGUUCUCGGCUUAUAUGACUUGUCUAGUUGGAAUUGAGCAUCUCUCCAGGGACAAUUUUUAAGUCUCCUGGAAGUGAUGACCAAAAUUUCGGAUUUCUUUUAUAGCGCUAUUACCCUUGUGUCGGAUGUAUGAGAGUCAUCUUUGCGAGAUGGCUUAGUCUGUUUAGGACGUUGGGAGUUCGAUGUGAUCAGCAAAGAACUUAGAGGUAGACACUAUCGUCUGGAUCUUCGCGAAGAGUACGUGUUUGAGAGGAUGUUAAUGUGUAUGAUAGUUCCGUUUUUUUUAGACCAGGAUUUCGUCUACGCGAUGUCUGGCGGGAAAUAGUUUCUUAGGCGUUUUUGCGACCUCUCGCAAUGCCAAAGGUUGAUUUUUCCCUAGUGACUGGUGAAUUUGCGUGUUCUUUUAAGACUCGAAUAUAAUUUGUGGAUCGAAGAUGAUUGUGCGGUUUGUAAGGUAGAAAAGUUUCAAAAAUAUCGAAAGCCUGGUCAGAUAUUUUAAACUUAUGAGUAUACGAGUACGCGUAUACGUACCCACUCCCCCCUUUUUUAGAGAGGGGGAUAACUGAAUUUGUCUUCCGACAAACUGCCUACGUACCCCUUUCGGAGAUCAAGUUGUCUUGUAGUCCAGUGGUUGUGAAGCGAUUUGUUUAGUUAUAGUAUUUUUUUAGAUCCAUUGCAUUCCAAGUUUUUGGAAUUUUUACGCCUUGCAUGUUGGCUAUCUCGUAGGAACCUGGUCGGACGACUUUUAUGACUUUGUAGGGUCCUUCCUAGUUUGCUCCUAAUUUUCCCGCGUUUCGCUCAGCGGUGUUUUCGAAGAAUUUGCGCAGAAUUAAAUCUCCUUCGUUGAAUCGGCGAUCUCGAACGUUGGAGUUAUAGUAUUUUGUGGCUGCGUGUUGAUAAUUUUGAAUUCGGAUGAGCGCUCGAUCUCGGUUUUCGUUGAUGAGGUCUAGAAUGUCUAAGAGCAUGGCGUUGUUGAGCUCUUCUCGUUCAGGCAGUAAUCUUCUUCGGACCCCGGAAAAUUCGACUUCCGAGGGAAUCAUGCAUUAUGUCCCGUACACGAGGGCGAAAGGCGUUUCUCUCGUUGCUCGUCUUGGGGUCAUGCGAUGUGACCAGAGGACUCCCUCGAGUUCAUCAACUGCCUUUUUUAGGGUCUAUGUGUUUCUUAAGUCCGUCUAGGAUGGUCUUAUUGAUUGUCUCCGCUUGACCGUUGCAUUGUGGAUAUCUGGGAGUUGAUUUGUUUAAUCGUAUCUUCCAUUUUUCGCAAAAUGCCUCGAACCGGGUGGAGAUGAACUAUGAUCCGUUGUCAGUUACGAUCUCGUAGGGAACUCCAUGUCUACAGAUAAUGUUUUUCCAUACGAAACUUUCGACUUGGACAUCUUUUAUACUUGCGUAUGACUCUGCCCCCACCCACUUUGAGAAGAAAUCAAUAAGGACUAAGAGGAAACGCUUUUGCUUUGGAUUGUAAAGGGGUCCGACGAUGUCCAUGGCCCAGCGCAUGAAGGGAUAUGGUGAUGUGAGGGAAGAAAGAACUUCUUCUGGUUGUCGGAUGGUCGGAGCAUGCCUUUGGCAUUUUUCGCAUUUUCGUGCGAAUUUCUCACAAUCUCCGAUCAUCGUCGGUCAGUAGUAUCUGUGGCGUUUGAUUUUUACUGUAAGUGACCUUCCACCGGAAUGGUUUCCGCAGGAUCCAGAAUGGACUUCUUCCAUGACUUUUCUCGCCUUUUCUCCUUCCAAACACGUCAUGAGCGGUCCGGAAAAUUUUCACUUGUAAAUUUCUCCGUCGAUCGUCACGUAACGCGCGGCUUGGGUUCGGAUUUUGCGGGCUGCCCAUUUUUCGGGGGGUAAUUUUCCAUCGAUGAUGUAGGCUCGAAUCGUUUCCACCCGUAGUCGGAUUGUUAUGAUCUCUCUUCUGGCUGUACCGCGAUCUCCUCUACAUCGUCGUCUUGAUCCCCGAUGAGGUUGAUAACGAUUGGUGGUCUGAUACUCGGGUGCUCGAUGAAUUCGACCAGAAUCACUCUUUUAAGACCUGGGUCUAAACUUGACGCCAGGGCCGCGAGAGCAUCGGCUUGGGCGUUUUCGGAGCGGGGGAUUCGCGUGAGAGCGAAACAGUCAAAAUCAUGAGCUAGAUUUCGGACCAGUUUGAGAUAUGCAUCCAUUCUUUCAUCCCUUGCAUUGUAUUCUCCAUUAUAUUGACUUGCAACUAGCUGAGAAUCACAGUAGGCGUGGAUGUUGCGAAUCUACAAUUUGUGAGCUAAUCGUAGCCCUGCAAUGAGCACUUCGUACUCCGCCUCGUUGUUGGACGCGUGGAAUUCUAGCUUAAACGAUUGCUCUAGGAUUUCAUUGGUCGGUGACGUAAGGCGAAUUCCGAUGCCCGAUCCUUGCUUAGAUGACAAUCCGUCGACGUGAAGAACCCAUGUUGAAUUUGGUUCCUUGUUAGUCAUGGUUCCCGUCGGUAGUUCUACCAAAAAGUGUGCGAGUACUUGGGAUGUUGCACUCGUUCUUGGUCGGUAUUCUAUAUCGUACUCACUUAACUCGACUGCCCAUUUGGCUAGUCUUCCCAACUGGCUCGGACUAUGCAAAAUCGUCCGCAGAGGGAAGGUCGUGAGGAUGACGAUCGUAUGAGAUUGGAAAUACGGUCAUAGCUUUCGUGUCGAGGUUACGACUGCGUAUGCUAAUUUUUCCAUUAGUGGAUAUCGCGACUCAAUAUCUAGCAAAGUUUUGCUUACGUAAAAGAUGGGUUUCUGUUCACCGCGCUCCUCUCUGAUCAGGAUGCCGCUUACGGCUGUUGCCGAUACUGCGAUAUAUAAGAACAAGGGUUCUCCUUCGACAGAUUUUUGCGAGAACCGGAGGAGUGGCUAAGUAGUGUUUCAGCUGUUGAAAAGCGUUUUCGCACUCUUCUGACCACUCGAAUUUUUUGUUCCCCUUAGGAUAUCGUAGAAAGGUAAGCAUUUGUCCGUUGAUCACGAGAUGAAUCGGUUAAGUGUUGCAGCUCUCCCAGUUAAUCUCUGUACUUCCCGAUUGUUUUUGGGUGAAGCCAUGUCGAUCAGUGCACCGAUCUGUUUUGGAUUAGCUUCGAUACCACGGUAUGUAACCAGGUAACCGAAGAAUUCCCCCGAUGCCACGGCGAAUCUGCAUUUUCUCGGGUUAAGCUUCAUGUUGUGCAGGUUUAACCGCGCGAAACAUCCCUCAAGAUGAGAUACGUGAUCUUCUGCAUGGAGAGAUUUGACGAUCAUGUCGUCGAUGUAGACCUCCAUAGUUUUACCGAGUUGUUCGAAGAACAUCCGGUUCACGAGUCGUUGAUAAGUUGCGCCGGCGUUUUUGAGGCCGAAAGGCAUCACUUUGUAGCAAUAAGUUCUGCGAUCCGUAAUAAAUGCAGUUUUUUCGCGAUUGUCAGAGUUCAUCAUAAUUUGAUUGUAACCCGAGAAGACAUCCAUAAAAGAUAAGAGUUUGUUUCCCGUUGUUGCUUCGACUAAUCGAUCGAUGUGCGGUAAAGGGAAGCUAUCCUUUGGACAGGCUUUGUUAAGGUCAGUGAAGUCAACGCAGACUCGCCACUUUCCGUUUUUCUUCUUGACCACAACAGGAUUGGCGAGCCAGUCCAGGUACCUUAUUUCUGUUAUCAACCCAACCUUAAGCAGUCUUUCGACUUCGUCGUUGACCGCAUUAGCGCGUUCAGGUCCCAAUUUUCGUCUUUAUUGUUUGACUUGUUUGACUGGUUUGAAGGUUGGAUAGAUAUUCAGCUCGUGGCAGGUUAUGUUGAUGUCAAUCCCCAGCAUGUCUUCCGCACCCCAGACGAAUGCGUGGAGAUUCUUUUUUAGACAAGUUAUAAGCUUAGUCUUUAAAGGCUCAUGGAGGUUGGCUCCGAUUUCGACGCAUCGUUCGGGGAAUGCUUCGUCAAGACAUACUGAUACCACGGGUUCGCAGGUUGGCUCACGCUUUUCCUCUAGAAUUCCGGCUUUCCGCAACUGCCAGAAGAGUUCUGCCGAAUAUUGUUCUUGGGCUUUUUUUUCAGAGGCCAACUUUUUCCUAUGAGUGGUCUCGGAAUCUGAUUUUUUUCGUUUUAGUUAUGCGGCGAAGCAGAUUUGUGAUACCCUCGAGUUUCCCCAGAUUGUUUCGAUUCCGCGAGGGGUUGAGAAUUUGAGGCAAAGAUGGUACGUUGAUGGAAUUGUCUGCAUAAGAUUCAACUUCGGUGUGCCCAUGAUUACGUUGUAUGACGCAGGUCUAUCGACAACUAGGAACUCCGUAAUUUUUUCCAUAGUUCCAGCUUUGAUUAUGAGGAUAAUUGACCCGAGAGCCAAAGUGGUCUCCCCUGAGAGUCCUACUAGCGGGCUAGGGUUUUCCGCGAUUUCGGACGGGUGUUUUUGAAAAUAAUAUUAGCCGAGCUUCCAGUAUCGAUUAGGAUUCUCGCGACGUCGAUGUUCUAAAUCGUCAACUCGAUGACAAGGAGGUCGUUGCGAGGUUUGGUCUGGUUGACCGUUGCUCUACCCUUAAAAGAGAUGACGUCUGUACCUAUCGAGUCUCGUAUGUUCUUUCCAACGUCAAUCGUCAUAUCUGAUCGAGCGUGUUGUAGCUGAGAGUUAGAUUGAUCCGUACCCCCCUUCUUCUAACGCCAAACAGUGAGAACCGAAAUUCGCACUGUCGAUUUCCGUUUAGAUUAGGAAAGUUAGGAAAACCCUAAUUUCUCAGAGGUCUCGGAUAUCUGCUAAACCACACGCCAAGCAAUCAAAACACGAAAUAAAGACGAGAAAAAUAAGAAAUCGAAAAGAGAGCAAAAUAGAUCUUAUUCUGAAUCCGCGUUUGAGCGUUACAACAAGGUAAGAAUCUGGGCUACGAGAACUGUCGGCGAGAUUCCUAGUUCUAAAAACCCUAAGACUGUAAGACCUAAUUGAGUCGCAGCUCGAAUAACAAAAACGAAACGUUGCCUAAAAUUGCUCUAAGUGCUCAGUUUUCUCUGAAAAAGUUCUCUCUUUGUGUCUCUCGCCUAGGACUCCUUAUAUACUCCCUCCAAGGUCGGUUUGAGCUUUUUCCUUCCUGCCCUUAAGCCGUCAUAACUCGAAAAUGGAGAUAUUCCAUUUUUCCCGAUUUUCAUGAUUAUCCGCGGAAACUUAACAUUUAUCUGCGGAAUCUUGACAUUUAUCAUUUCUUGUUGACUAAGUAAAAACCGCCAUAGUAUCUAUGGGCUUUUCCUUAAAAAAUCGUAUGUGGGUUUCUAAUCGUGUUUUAGACAUAUUUGGUCCGUCUUUCAAUUUGAAACGUUUAUCACGAUUUUUAUCGAUAAGAAUGAACUUUCCGUGAUUUUUAUCGUAAAGUUUAAAUGUUAACUCCAAUCGAUGGGAGUAAGAAAUGAUAUGACUGCGGUACAUAGAGCUAGCAUUGAGGAACAGACAAGAAUGCACGGAUUUGGGUCGUACCCGUUGAUCGAUGUCCGAGACAGUUUGGUCGCUACGUAGCGACCGGGUCCGUGAUGGAUCGGUCGCUACGUAGCGACCAAACAAAUGGCUUGGUCAGUCUCUACAUAGCAACCGACUCGGUUCGGGUCAGUUGCUACGUAGCUCUAUGUCUUUCACUGUCAAUGAUAUCAUUGUACUCAUUGAUGCAUUGUCCGAGUCCUCUGGAUCUCAGGGCAACAAGAGUAUUCUUUACCAAUUCUAGGUAAUUAUCUCCAGAGAGAUUUAGGCAGAGUAAUCUAAGGGUUCAAAUCUCGACAUCUGAAUAUUUAACGAGUAAUUCAAGCACUCAGAAUUUCUAUGUAAGCAAUAGAAUAAAUCAAUGUAUAUGAUUUCAAUAAGGCUUUCCCCCAAAUCAUAUAAUCUAUUUGCUAUCAGGUAUAUAUAUAUGAUCAGUAUAUAAUUCAAUCACCACAAAAUCAGUUUUCAAAGUUGGUUUUUAGAUCAAGAUAAAUUUAUAUCAUUUGUUCAAACUAUAAUGAACCGAUUUCAAGGCCGGUUUAGAUUUAGAUAAAUUUUGACAAACAACUAUGUGAUCAAAUGAUUUCAACUUAGUAUUUAUUUUAGCCUAUGUCAUAACUAUUUAAAUCAAGACUAUAUGUUAUAAUAUUUUGAUAAAUACUACCUAGUCAAAGAUAUGCAUUUAAAACAAUCAUAAAAGUUUUAAAUUUUGAUCAGUUACAAUAUAAAACAUCAAUGGUCAAAGAUAUGCAUUGAUUAGGAUUUAAGUUUUGAUAUCUUUGGGUUUGACUGAAAGAUUAUGGCUGAAAAGAUUGUAUAGAUCUUAGAUUAUUAAUAAGUUUUAUAAGUUUUUAGAGAUUCUUAGAUCUUUAGAGAUUCAAAUAAUUUUAGAAUCAAGAUUCAUAUAGAUCUUAGAUUCAAGAUUAAUAUUUGUGAUAAUUUUAGAUCUAUAGAUUUUUAUAAGUUUUAUGAUUCAAAUAGAUCUAAUAAUCAGGAUUCAGAUAUGUGGUGUUCUUAGAUUUUAUGGAUAGAUUAGUUUACCUUUUAGAAAACACCAAAUUGAUCUGAAUGGACCACCGUGAGAGAGAGCUGAUCCGCGGAUGAGCUGGUUGAGAGAGAGGUGGAGGAACUGGCCGGAAAACCGUGAGAGGGAUAGACUUGGCCGGCGGAACAAGGCUGAGGGUCGGAAGAGAUGGUCGGAAAAGAGAUGAUCGAAAAAGAGAUGAUCGCCGGCGGAUGGGAUUGCUCAGGUGGAGAGAGUCUCGUGCUGAUAACGUAUUAAAAUUUGAGAGAAGAUUUGUGAGAAUGUGUUGUAUAUUUCUUAUUGCUUACACCACUAUAUAUAGUGGUUCAUACAAGGUGGAGUCAAAGGGAGAAUUGAUUACAAAGAUACUCUACAUAAUGACAUGGUCAAACUCAUAAAGACUAAGGUUGAAUGGGUCUUCCAUGUGGCUGGAUGUAAACCUCUAAUGGACUCUAAUCUUGAACUUGUAUGGUCUAGGUUAUGGACCAUCCACUUCAUGAUUCAUAACAAAACUCAUAUUUUUGCUUCCAUCGCAAUUAAGGAAGAAAAAGAAGAAGAAUACCUCCUCCUCUUCCACUAAAGUCUUAAGAAUCACAUCGAUCUCACAAGUCAAGACUUCAGAGGAGAUGAAAGGAAACCUAAUAGAGAAACAUGAUUUAAGGUCAGCAAUACAUCUGUAUAAGUACAAACAGUUCGAGAGAACUAUUCUAAAUAUGGUUAAUCAAACUUGGUUCAAAAUAGUUCGCAGACAUAUUCUAGAUCAAGUCAACAGCAAACUAGGUAAAAUUCAUCAGCAAAAGCAACGGAAGUUAUAUCUUAAAGAAAAAAAAGAAAUGCACAUACUUGAAGGCACGCUUGCUAUCAGCAUCUUCUGGAGAUUCUUCAACAACAAAACGUAAUAACUGUUCCACUUGGACACUUUCUCUCAAAUUGCAGAUGAGCAUAUAUAAAAUAAAAGCAUAAAAGGCCAACAUCCGAACCCUUUCUACUACUAAGAGAAACUAAAACUCCCAUUGUAUACCAGGGUGGUCCUGCAAGGAAAACAUAAGGUACGGUGAAGUGAUUCUAUCUUUUUUUUUUUGUGUGCAAUAUCUGCUGGCUUGUGUAUCCUCUUCAAUCUUAUCAGGAAGGAUUCAUAUAUAUAGAGAGAGACAUGUCAUAGUACAAACAAGAUAUACAGAUAACUACAAGGAGAGGACGCCUUAAAGAAUUACAAAUUAAUGAGACGGCUGUUAAAAGCUCUGCAUUCUUGGAUAAUGUCUUCCUCAUCCAGGAGUUCUUCCAAAGUGAAGUCUCCUUGUCUAAUAUGGAUUCGACCUGUCAAUGGCAAGCAAAAGAUAAAGAAGACAGUAGACCAAAUGGACAAGAACUCCCCAAUCAUCGCAACAACAGUGUAUCUGUCUGAUUUAUAUAUUCCCUAAACUACAUCACGAGGACUAUGAAGAUUUUAACAUCAAAGUCGAAGCAUCUGAAAACCAAACAUUGAUACGAAAUCUCAAACAUUUCAGAUACAAAAGAGACCGUCGAUUCAGAACACGAAGAGUUCAUCGGAGCGGAGAAACAACCUCAACCAUAGAGUGAUACUCACCGGGGAAGCAGCAGAGAGAGCAGUCAACUUCCAGAACAUGGUGAACGAACGAAGCAGAACAGAGGAUGGUGAUGACGAAGAAGGAUACGAGCUACGUUAGAUCUCUACUCAGACCCAAACUCAAUCACUAAAUCUUAGGGCACUAGCCAGAUGAAGUAGAAAAAACCCUAAUUUGAUUCUGGUGAAAAGGAAGGAGAGGCACAAAUGAAAAAGGACGAGAAAUCACGUAAUUUAACAAGAAAGCCCAAAAAAAAAACUAAUCUCGGCAAGGCAUAAUUAAAGAAGAAAUUAACUAGAGUAUAACCCGCGCUAAAGGAGGAUAUUUUUAUUUUUAAAUUUGACAAAAAAAAUUAAAAUUUUUAUUUCAAACAUUUUAGGCUUUUUUUAUUAAUAUGUUUAUACACAAUUUUUCAAUUUGGUAUUUGUAAAAUAUUUACAUGUGAUUAAAGUAGGUUGCUUAAUAUAUUAUAUUUAACAGUUCUAUUUUAUACAUUAUCAGAUUUAUUUUUUGGAUUGAAAUUUUAGCACAUUAGAUAAAAUUUUGAUUUUGUAAAAUUUUGUUUGUGUUUAUUUUUUGUGUUUUUACUAACAAAAUAAAUUACUACGAUUUGAAUUUGCUGUGUUAGUUUUAAACGAUUUUAGAUCUUGGGGUUUUUGCAAAUAUGACUCAAAACUUGAAAUCAAACACAAAACUAACCAUGUUUUUUUAUGAGCUUUGACUUGUCUCUUUCACCCCCCAAAGUUCAGAUUAUUCACGAAAAUAUCACCUUUUUUUUUUUGAAAAUGCAUAUUUUACUCUAUCACCCUUAUCUUCCUCAAGUAAUCACAAUAUUGUCUUUGUCAUCAAUACACCAACCACCAUGAACAACCAAUUUGAAGCUCUUAAUGCACCUAAAAAUCGAUUUACACUCUUUCUUUACGCUCUUUCUUUCUCAAUUCUUAUGAACUGAAAACAACAUCUCUUUCACUUUCUCUCCAUAUCCAUCCAAAAAAACGCAAGAUUUUUAUUCUAAAAAUUUUAUGGUUCAUAGAAUCAUUGAAGCUUACGAUUCUUGGUGGAUCACUUUUGUUUGAGAUUCUGGGUGUUUGGAGAAGACUUUUUUUUUAUGACCCUGGUUUCCGGAGCCUCGAGAGGAUCCGACUAGCGCCAAUGACCGUACACCGGAGCUUAGCCGGGGAGCCCGCUGAGGCAUCCUGGAGGGUUGGUGAUCACCCCAUGUAAAUCCCACCAGUGGCCACACGUUAGCAGGCUUCUCCGUAUUCGGCCCGAAGGUCCCUCAAGAUAAUCACCUCCCAGCGGUACUCGAACCCAUGACUUCCCAGGUUGAGUUUAACCACUGGACUACUCCGCUUGGAGAAGACUUAUGUGUGCUAAACAAUUUAUCUCACUGAUUGAAACUAUGAAAUCAGUUUUUUCCCCAGAUCUGUUCGUCCAGACGACUUACAGGGAAGUCUUCUGGUCAAUACAGAGGUUAAUUUUGCAAUUGACUUUUAAAUGUAUUUUUAUAGACGGCUUACAUGGAAGUCGUCCAUCUUUGUUUGAUAAAAAAAAAUUCGAGACGACUUCCUUGUAAGUCGUCUAGGGUAAAUGGGUUAGUUUUGCAUUUGACCGGAUUGUGUCAGAAAUUUGACUUUUCCUGGACGACUUAGUAGAAAAUUAAAAAAUCAAUAUUUUGUUAUACCUAAACGACUUAAAUGGAAAUCGUCUCAGGUUAGUUUUGCAAUUGAAAAAUAAAACAAAAAAUUAUUUUUUUCAAGAUGACUUACACGGAAGUCGUCCGUCCGACGACUUACAUUGAAGUCGUCCAUGAUUUUAUUCCGAGCUUCUGGUCAAACCUUGCUUAUCUUGGACGACUUCCAUGUAAGUCGUCAGACGGACGACUUCCGUGUAAGUCGUCAGACGGACGACUUCCGUGUAAGUCGUUUAGAAAAAAAUAAUUUUUUUUGUUUUAUUUUUCAAUUGCAAAACUAACCUGAGACGACUUAUAUGGAAGUCGUCUAGGUAUAACAAAUAUUGAUUUUUUAAUUUUCUAUUGGACGAUUUACGUGUAAGUCAUCCAGGAAAAGUCAAAUUUCUGACAAUCCGGUCAAAUACAAAACUAACGUGUUUUCCCUAGACGACUUACAUGUAAGUCGUCUCGAGUUUUUUUUUAACAAACAAAGAUGGACGACUUCCGUGUAAGUCGUCUAGAUUAAAAAUCAAUUGCAAAACUAACCUAAAUGGACGACUUCCUAGAAGUCUGCCAGACGACCUACGUGGAAGUCGUAUGCGUCAAUGUUUAAUAAACUUUCAUUUUCUCUAAAACUAUAAAGAAUUUUUAACAUUUUCUUGUUAAUUCAUGUCUAUUAAUCAAUAUUUUAGCUACUGAAUAAAAUUUAUAACUUAAUUCGUGAUAUUUAUGAGGUCACCAACAUUCAUGUUUAUUGAAGUUUCUAACUGAUCCGAGAAGACUUCCACGGAAGUCUUCUAUGCUAGUUGUUGAAUAACUUGUAUUUUUAAGAGUUUUAAGUAACUUCAAGAAUGUAAAACUCAUAUUUUCAAAAUAUGUUUUCUGCCUUAAUUUUACUAAAUUGGACUAAGUUUUUCAACACAAACUUGUAAGAAUUGUGAUAUGUUUUGACUAGUUACUAUUGUUUGUUUCCAUCUCUUAAGUAUGCACCAGUGAUUAUUAUUUCUAUGAGUGGGUAAAAUACUUGUUUCUUAAAAUGUUGUAUCAAUGACUUAAGCAUCAUUAUUGUUAUAUGCAUCAAUGAUGUUUUUUUGCUAUGAGUGAGUAGAAUUGUUAAAAUGAUUCUUAAUAUGUUGUAUCAAUGACUUAAGUAUCAUUAUUGUUAUAUGCAUCAAUGAUGUUUUUUGCUAGAAGACUUCCUAGAAGACUUUCCAGAAGACUUCUAAUGAAAAUGUUAUAUCUUUGAACUUAUGUAAUGGUUUAUCUUUUGUGAAUUUGACUAAGUUUUCUUGAGAAUUCUUCUCCUUUAGUUGUAAUAAAUUUGAUUAAUUUUUCCUGCUAUUGUGUUUUGCUAUUUAAGUUGUAUCAAUAACUUCAAUUAUAUCAAGUAAUUUUGGCAAGAUAAUAUUGUGGAAUAUGAACAUAUUUACCAAAUUUUUUAUUAAUAUCUAUUCAAAUUUAUAAAAACAAAAUCUCAACUAAAGGAGUACACAUGCAAAUCACAAAACAGACCAGAAUCAAAACUAUUAUAGAUCAUUCCUCUACAAAGACAAGAUUGGACUCCACUUGUUAUGGAAGAAGACUCCGCCAGAAGACUUCUAGGAAGUCUUCUAGCGCAUUAUAUUUUAGAAGACUUCCGAGAAGACUUCCCAUAAAUCUUCCAAAGUCUGCUAUAGAUCUGAAAAACUUGCAUAUCAAAAAAUGUUCAAAUGACUUAAAAACAGAGAAAAUGAGUGGAAGAUUAUACAGAUCUACUUUUAUAGAACACACAAAGUACAUAUCCAAGUGGAAGAUUAGAACCAUCUGGUUAAAAACAUGAAACAAAAAGAUAGAUUAAUGAGAAAGACAUGAGACAAAAAUGAAAAAUUCAUAUAAAGUUUGGUGUUUUCAAGUCAAAGAGAUUAGAAUGGGUUUGGAGAGUUUUAGUUUGGGAAAAAGGUAAGAAUUUUAUGCAACAUAAAGUUACUAAAUGAAGAAAAAUCAGACAUAAAAACUUACCAAAACGCUCAGAUCUGUUAUGAAAGGGAGACAUGUGAGAAGACUCCAUCAGAAGACUUCCAGGUAAGUCGUCCUGGAAGUCUUCUAGCGCAUUAUAUUUUAGACGACUAACAGGUAAGUCUUCCCAGAAGUCUUCCAGAUCUGAAAAACCUGCAUAUCCAAAAACGUUCAAAUUGUUAAAGAAGUAUAUAGAACUCUAAGGACCUCUAUGUAAAUACUCAUUAGUGUUAAUACCCUACUUGUAUCUUGUAUAAAUAUCUUCCGUAUACUUGAUAAUAAAGUUAUUCAGCCUAUUAUCUAUAUGGUAUCAGAGCCAAUGAGUUCUUGAAACCCGAGCGAAUGAGGAAUGUCUUGAGUUCUGAGUACCAGGCGCGAGGAGCCUGUUUCAAGCCAUAUAGUGCAUUCCGAAGUUUGUAGACAUGGUGAGGUCGAUCCAAAUCUGUGAAACCUGGUGGCUGUGACAUGAACACUUCUUCUUGAAGAUGACCUUAUAGGAAGGCAGUAUUGACAUCAAUUUGUCUUACUGGCCAGUCAUGAUUCACCGCAAGACCAAGAACAAUCCGAAUGGUAUUAGACUUUAUAACUGGACUGAAGGUGUCGCCAUAGUCAAUACCUUGUUGCUGAUGAUACCCUUUGGCGACAAUCUGAGCUUUAUAUUUGUCUAUGCUUCCAUCAGGAUUGUAUUUUAUUGUAAACACCCAGCGACAAACCACAACAUUCAUAUGUUGAGAAGCUUCUACCAAAUCUGAAGUUCUGUUCUCAUUUGUUGAGAGGAAUUCGCGUGACAUAGCGUCUCUCCAGUAUUUAUGCUUCAUUGCUUGCUGCCAAGUCGACAGUAUCCAGUGUGGAUCACACUCAAGUGUAACAUUGAAAUUAUAUUUGGCCACCGACUUCACUAUAUUAUUUCUGGAGCGAGUGGUCAUAGAGUGUCUGCUUUCUGUUACCACUGCUUGAGUUUCAGACGCUACAGCUGCAGUUCCUUGAUUGGAGGUUUCUGCAGGUGCGUGAGAUGAAGAUGCCUGAGCCGGUUGAUGAGUUGUCAUCUCAACUGCUGCAGGUUGAAAAUUUUGCACAUUCGCUUGUUCUGUAGGAGCAGUGGUGACUGACGGUGGUUGCUGCAUCACAGGCGAAGAACCAGGACACAGAGGUUGAUUGCUAGCAGCCAUUGGAGACGAUUAUAUGAGCGACGGUGUACACGGGAUGAUGGUAACAGGGGUGCUAUCGUAGAUAGGUGUGGGAUCAGGUGGGUUUGGCACGGUUUGUUUGGUCAUGGUGGGAAAAGGGAAUUGGGUUUCAUUGAACCUUACAUGGCGAGAGACAUAAAUUCGACCAGUAAGAGGAUCAAGGCAUUGAUAUGCACUUUAAGUAAGAGAGUAGCCAAUAAAGACACAAGGAAGGGAUCUGUUUUCGAGUUUAUUUGGAGCAUAAGGCUGGAGCCAAGGAAAACAUAAGCAACCAAACGUUCGCAAUUUCUUAUAGUUUGGUGUGGAGUUAAAAAGCUUUUGAAAAGGAGAAGUGCUUGAGAGCACGGGUGUGGGUAAUCUAGUGAUGAGAAACACGGCUGUAGCAAACGCAAAUGGCCAAUAUGAUAAAGGAAUUUUGGCUGAGGAUAGAAGGAAUAAACCUACUGUGACAACAUCGGUGCUACAUACCUUUGUGCAAACCCGGUUUUUCAUUCUCGGAUGAAACUUAUAGCCAUCGACUAUCAUUUUGUACGAGGUCAGAUACAACAUGGUCUCUUGCGUGUCACACACGUUUCCACUCAUGACCAGCUUGCGGAUGGGUUAGCCAAACCACUCUCACGAAGACCUUUUCAGAGUUCAUGAAUCAAGAUUGGUGUUGCUCCCUCACCACCAUCUUGAGGAGGCGUGUUAAGGAAGUAUAUAGAACUCUAAGGACCUCUAUGUAAAUACUCAUUAGUGUUAAUACCCUACUCGUAUCUUGUAUAAAUACCUUCCGUGUAAUUGAUAAUAAAGUUAUUCAGCCUAUUAUCUAUACAAAUGGCUUAAAACAGAGAAAAUGAGUGGAAUAUUAGAUAAAUCUACCUUUAUAGAACGUACAAAAAUACAUAAAAUUAAUAGAUCUACCUUUAAAUGAAUGGAAGAUGAGAACCAUGUGAUGAAAAACCUGCAAAACAAGAUAAACUAGUGAGAAAGACAUGAGACAAAAACAAUAAAUUGAUAUAAAGUUUGGUGUUUAUAAGUUCAAAGAGAUUAGAGAAAGGUUGGAGAGUUUUAGAACGAGGAACAUACCAUUUUUGCUACAGCCAUUUGAGAGGAGGAGAAAGAAUGUGUAAAUUUUUCUUUAUAUGUGGAGACAAAAAUUCCAAUAAGGUUAAAUAUUUUCGUUUAGAAAACUUUCAAGUAAGUCAUAUAAUAGAAGACUUACUAGACGACUUACUUGUAAGUCGCCCAGAAGACUUCAACAUUUUUAGCAAAAAAAUAAAAUAUUUUUAGCGGGAGUUAGAAGACUUUCAGAGAAGUCUUAUAAUCGCCAGACGACUUACCUGUUAGUCGUCUAGACCCUAAAUGCAACCCCUAAACUAAAUUAACUAACUAAACACUGCAUAUAAAAAGUGUUUACUAUACACAAAAAUAAUCACACGUAGGUAAAAAUUUAAUUUUUCAAAAAAAACAUUUAACCUUUCCAAAAUCUAACCCUAAGAAUACAUACAAUACUACAACAUAUGUUGUAAAAUCCUAGACCAAAGAAUAUCAUGAUUCACUACUUUCACUCAUCUAUGUUGAAAAUAAUUCAAUUUUAUUAUAUCUUAAUUUAUAUCACUUAAAACUGUUUAUAAUUACAUGAUUUUAAUUUUUCGCUUAUCAAAAUAUUUUUUACAAAAUUUAUAAAUUAUUUUUAAGAUCCACUAUACCAGACGACUUCUGUGGACGUCGUUCAGAAGACUUAACAAAAUCUCAGAAGACUCGGAAGACUUAGCAUGGCUAUAUUCGUAAAAAUGAGUUCUGUUUUUUUUGUUUGGUCACAAUGGGCUGGCUGUAAUUUCACAAGGCUUUUAGGUUAUUUUUGCAUUUAAUUCAAGUUUUAGUAUAAUUUUCCAAUCAAAGUCAAGUUUUGAGUCAUAUUUGGCAAAUACCCCUUAGAUCUUUGAGGAAUCUUAUUAUUUUAAGAAGUUGUAUGAAAACAAACGUUUCUGUAUGUAGAAGAUUGGUUUUUAAAAUGUUGUAAUUUAGUAUUGAAAGUGUGUAUAUUAAUAGCGUGGAUUUUAGGUGUUAAUAAAAUAUUGUGUUUGAAAAAAUUAGUUAUACUCAAAUAUUAAUGUGUAUAUAAAUCAAUUGGAUUUUUUAAUAUAUUCAAUUUUUAUAUAUGUUUAGAUUAGAAAUAAAUUUUAGGUUUUAAUAAAUAUGACUUAGUGUAUGUAAAUAUAUUUAUAGGAUAUUAACCUAUUAAUCACUCUCACCGAUAAUUACAGAUAAUUAUUAUAUAUAUAGUAUCUUAAUAAAAUUCCGAAAAUAUUUCUAGAUUUUAAUGAAUUAAUAUAUAAUAAUUGAUAUCUUAAUAAAUUUGAGAAAAUAUAGGUUGGUUAAAUGAAUAUUAAAACAAUAAAUAAUUUGUUACAAUUUCAAAUUGUUGAACUUGAAUUUUGUUUUUAUAUUUGAAACUUAAUUAGUAAAUAAAUUAGGAAUAUUUAAAAUAUAUAUUUAAUUAAAAUUGAUUUAAAUAUAUUAUAAUAUUUUGGUUCAGAAACCUAUAUAUAUUAUAUACUUUGUCUGACAUAUGCAUGAUGUAUUAUCAGAUUAUAAAUUUUUAUUAUAACAUAUGAAAACUUUUUCUUAACAUAUGAAAACUUGAUUCUUAUUUAUACAAAUCUGACCUAGUAUAGAUACACGACAACAAAAUUAUACAUUAAUGGAAUACGUAAAUAUGUGCUUACUCAUGUUUUUUUUUUCUUGACGUCAAAUGGUCAUUCUAUUAUUCAAACUUGAGGUGGUCUGGGUAACCAGACCGAAAUAAAACAACCAAUAAAAAGUAACUCUCUAUGGAAUGAUCUAGCAGUUUUAGCUAAAAUAUCCAAAGCUGAUUACUCAUGUUCAUAAAACAAUUAUAUGCAUACACAUAAAAGAAGUCGUGGAUAUCAUGCAUUGUCAAUGAAAAUACACUAUAUGCAUAGUUAAUUAAUGGCCCACCAGAGUAUGUGAUUACUUAUCACUGUGCAAAUCGUUUUACAUUAAUCCUGAGCAAUAUUUGGUAUUGUAGAUAUAAUAGAAAGUGGGUUAGACAACAGAGAAGGAAUCUUAGCCUCUGAGCGGCGCCUCUCCUCUGCGACAUAAAGAGCGGAGCAGGUAGUCUUCUCCCGAUCUCCCUCCUCGGUGGGCAGUAUUUCUCACCGCCACCGGGGAUGGAUUCGCCUAGUCGUCUUCUAGCUUUGGUCUUGUCUUUUGUUUCUGUCAUGGGUCGUGAUGUGCAGAUUUGAAUGUUACUGUGACUCCCUAUCACCACAACGCGACCUAGCUUCACGCUUUGGAUAAGUCUUCUCCUUUCUCCCUUGCGGUUUAUCGAGAAUUGGUUGAGGUUUUAGUGAGGAUUCGAUGGUUAUGGUAGGCUACCUAUGGUAGCUAGGGUUUGGAUUGUUAAAUUUGUUGCGCCUUAUCGUUGUUUCCUCCGAUCUGGUUUCCUUGCUUGUGGGGUGUAUCUCGUUUUGAUGGUAGUUCAGGUUCAGUUUUCGUCCGGAGAGUUGGGUUCUGUGGUGAGUCUGGCGCCAUAUGUCAGAUUGAGGAUCUGUUGACGGUGCAGUGUCGCUGCUGGGAGCAGGACAGGUUGCAGUAUGUUCACGGUUCAACCUUAGUUUUGAGAGGAAUGUAUAUCGGAGCGAUUGAUUCAUUGUCGGUCGAUUGGCGUGUCUUGAUCGUGUUUGUCAUGGAUUUGGAGUGGUUAUUAUCCAGUUACCGGCUGUGUGAAUAAGACGUUCCCCAGAAAACUGGAAAACUUUAUAGGCUUUGCCGUGGGGUGAUGGUGCAUAUGAGGCGCGUGGAGAGCACACUCAAGAUCCAAUGGAGAGACUUAGUUGGGAUUGAAGGGUGUUUACAUCGACGGUUAAGGAUUCUAACCUCUCUCGAUUCAGUUUAUAUGUUUGGUGAUGUUCGUGUGCAUCUAGUCUAUCUCGCUGCUCCUCUCAUAUUGUGUUAAUGGUUGAUGAGUUCUAUUUCGGUAAACUCGUUUUUGAGCGCACGGUGGAGCACUCCUCUCCUGAAUUUCUGUUUUACUCAUCUGCCUCUCGACUUCGUGUCUUUGUUAGUUUUUAAUGGGUUUGUGUUGUAUCCAUCUUUUGGCUCCGGGUGGUACAUGUUACCUCGCCGGUUUAUGGCUCUGGAAGGAAUGUAUUCCUUGCCGGCUCUGGUUUGUAAGAAUUGUUGUUUUUGUCGGCUCUAGUUUGUAAGAAUUGUUGUUUUUAUGUUUAAUAUAAUCUAUAGAUGACAAAAAAAAAAAUCUUAGGAUUAAGAUGGUUUUGUGGUCAUGGUUCAAGUUAUAGUGGAUGGUUCAAGUUAUAGUGGAUGGGGUUAGAAUCAGGGCCUGCUCAAAAAUAGUGGGGCCCUGUGCCAUUUUUUUUUCUAAUUUAGUGAAUUUGAAGUUGAAACUUUCCAUGUAAAAACUAAAACAAUUAGGAUCCUACUGAAUAAAGAAACAUUGACUAAAACUAUAAUAACUAAAACUUUAGGGCCCUAAAAAAUAAAGAAAUUUUGACCACAAAUGUGGAACCCUGUGCUGUUGCACUCUGUGCACUCCCCUAGAGCCGAUACUGUUUAGAAUCAACAGUUUGUUUCUGAGAUGGUGUGGGAAGAAAGCGGGUUCUAUACAUGACCGCUGAUUACGGUUACUCGGCGAGUCAGACUGGGAGCCAUCAUUAUCGCUAUUGUCUGCGACGAUGAAAUCUUUGACGGGAUAGAGAAUUGCGGUGGAGAAAAAAAGAAAAAAAUCUUAAAGCAGCCGUAUUAAUGAACCCCCGGUUGGGGUUCAUCAUGUGAAUUUUUUAUUUUUUUUUAUUUAUUUUUCGUUUGAUUUUUUUUUUGAAAAAAAAAAAAAAUUGACCAAUAGCAGGCCGCCACGUGGCGUGGAGCCCGCUGAACAGUAACGACCCGGGUUCAUGCAGAAGGAGUGUUGCGAGACAGAGUCGUGACUGUAGCAUAUUUUAAUAAUUUUUUUUCGGAAAGCGUGUGAACCCCCCCUAUGAACUCCUAAUACUGGUGCCCUUAGUGUGGAGAAUUAUGGUGAAAAAAUAGGGAGAGAAGAAAAAGAAUGAUAAUUGCUAUCGAGAAGAAGAAGAAGUGGACGGGAUGUUGUAGCUUGGUAUAGGUCUUGGGGGCCAAUUGUCAUGCUCCUGGGUUCGACGCCAGGCGGAGGGAAACUGUCCAUCCUGUCAUCAAAUGCGGUACUGAAUGUUGGGCCUUGUCUCCAACCCAGGUAAAGCCUCCCGGGUGAAGUGGACCGCUGCCUAACCGGGUUCAGGGGAAUGAUCCACGUAAGUGGGGAACCCCUGGAUUAUAAAAAAAAAAAAAAAAGUGUGUAGCUCAAAUUUUGAUUCUUCGAUCAGUUUGGUUAAAAGGAUUUUUUUGGUAAAUCACAUCAAAAUAUCUCACACCAGGGUAUGUAAAAGAGUAAAUAGAGAAAAUAAAAGUACGUCACGACAUAGUUUUUUUCAACUUUUGUUGUCGGCAAUUCAUUUUAGAAAAAUGUUUAGCUAAAUAACUCUCUCUUAUUAAACACAAGACUGAAAUUAAGUAACCGUGUAAGUACUUUUGGUCCGGUGGUUUUGACCAAAAAUUCAUUAAUACUUCUACAACAGGAAGUCGGAGUUUUAAUUCCUAGAAAAAGCAAAAUUAUGCGAAUUAAGAGAGAAAAAAGCUUACAAAAGAUAUGUAAUAUGGCCAAGGAGUACCGUCAAACGUGGAUUUCUUAGGACGGCUCAUGUGAUACAGUCAGGCGUGAAUCAUCAUACGGCAGGUAAAAUUAUCGACCGUAAAAUUGUCUGUAAUAUUUCUCAUAGUUGUAACAGCGUAAUUACCGAACGUUAAAAAAAAAAAUUUAACUAACAGAUACAAAAACAUUAACUCCUUGGUUCCAAAUUUAAAACGUCAAUCAUUGCCUUCGGUUCCUCCGCUCGCUCUCAGAUUCCUCUUUAAACGCAUCAAAAAAACAAGAACGCGUCUCCAAAACGCAUCUUCCGAAUCUCUCCGACAAUGGCUCUCCAAGCCACUACUACUACGUUCUCCUUCUCCGCUCCUACUUUCCGAUCAACUCCUCCUCAUGCAUUGACCUCAAAGCGUCGUAUCUCCAUCAAAGCUUCUUCUUCAGGACUCUCUUCUCCUCCCCUCCUCUCCCUUUCACGAUCUAAUCUCAAAGGUUAACCUUUUCUUCACUUGAAUUUUUUGAAAUGAUUAAAAAAAUAAACUUUCGUUGAUCCCUAGAUUGUUCAGGACUGUCCCUCAUGAAAUCUUCUGGAUCUAACUGUAUAAUGUUACUGAACAGUAAAGUCUUAUGAAUGUAUAUAGCAUUGUAUAAUCAUUAAUAACAAAGUUCACAUUUUUUAAUGGUAAAAAGGAAGAGCCUUUGCUAGUGAUGGCUCAACGCAAGAGUCUCCCUCCGUGGUCUGUUUCGGAGAAAUGCUUAUCGACUUCGUACCAACAACAAGUGGGCUUUCCUUGGCCCAAGCACCAGCUUUCAAAAAGGCUCCAGGUGGCGCCCCUGCUAAUGUUGCUGUUGGUAUCGCUCGUCUCGGUGGCUCUUCAGCUUUCAUUGGCAAGGUGAGACAACACCUCUGCGUCCUAUUUUGAGUUUUUCUUGAACAAUUUGUGAAUGUGUUGUUGUUUUGUGCUAACAGGUCGGUGAAGAUGAGUUUGGUUAUAUGCUUGCAAACAUCCUCAAGGAGAACAACGUGAACAAUGAAGGCAUGCGUUUUGAUCCUGGAGCCAGAACUGCAUUAGCUUUCGUCACUCUGACAAAUGAAGGCGAACGUGAGUUCAUGUUCUAUCGUAACCCCAGCGCCGACAUGCUGUUAGAAGAAUCUGAGCUUGAUUUGGAUUUGAUUAAAAAGGUAAACUAACUUAUAAACAUUUUUUUAGUUGUUACUUUGAAACAUUUUACUUUUUUAUGAAAAUCAAUCAUUUUGUGUUUGUGUGUGGCCAGGCGAAGAUAUUCCAUUACGGUUCGAUAAGUCUAAUCACAGAGCCGUGCAAGUCAGCUCACAUAGCUGCGGCAAAGGCAGCUAAGGAAGCUGGUGUGAUUCUUUCGUAUGACCCUAACCUCAGGCUCCCCUUGUGGCCUUCUGCUGACAACGCUAGAGAUGAAAUCCUCAGCGUUUGGGAUACUGCUGAUAUCAUUAAGAUCAGCGAAGAGGAGAUUGAGUUUCUAACGAAAGGAGAAGAUCCUUAUGAUGAUUCUGUCGUCAGGAAGCUGUUCCAUCCUAAGCUGAAACUACUCCUUGUCACUGAAGGCCCUGAAGGUUGUCGGUACUACACAAAGGUGUGAAGAGUCCCUCUCCCUCUCCUUCUUUUGAUUUUGAUCCAAACUAAACUAUGUAGCCUUAGUCUUGAUACUCAAAGGUUAUUUUCGAUUUUACAGGAUUUUAGCGGGAGAGUGCAUGGAUUGAAGGUGGAAGUAGUGGACACGACAGGUGCUGGAGAUGCGUUUGUUGCCGGAAUACUAUCUCAGCUAGCAUGUGAUCUCUCAUUGCUUCAGGUAAACUUUGAUUCUUGUCUUUUGGGUUUUGAGCGUUGAUAAGCUAAGAUGAAGUUUAAGCUAUAGUAAUCAGCCUAGGAGUUAAUGUAGUAGAUUGUAGUGGUGUUGAGUUGGUUAGAGCCUAGAGUUAUAAGAAUAGAAUUUUCAAAGCUUAUCAGAGUUAUGGUCAUUGUUUGACGCAGGACGAAGAAAGACUGAGAGAGGCUCUAAUGUUUGCGAAUGCGUGUGGUGCCUUAACCGUAAAGGAGAGAGGUGCAAUACCGGCACUUCCUACGAAAGAAGCUGUACUUGACGCCCUACUCAAAGCCGUCGUCUAACAUCAAAAACAAGAACAAAGUGAGAAAGCAGAUUCAGAUUUUUGUUCACCAAAUCUGUAUUGGUUGUUUGUUGUAACAUAGCUGUAUGUCAUUAGUGUAUCCUCACAUUGUUAUUAUGCUAGCAGAUAACUAAACUAGCCUGUUUUGUCAAGUCACGAGGUAUUUAAAUAAAGAAAAAACUAGUAUUUCUUUGCAUUUUAUAAAGAAGAAAUUAAGUUUAAAACAUUUACACAGACGGAAAAAAAAUCACUUUUUAUCAUCUUCUUUAGUUCUUGGACUAUCUAUUACCUUUGCCUACAAAAGAACAUCAUCAUCGUCUUCAAACUCUGUUACUCCGAGCAUGGCAAGAGCAAGAUGACUCUUCAUCUCAGAUUUUGUCCGUUGCAACUGCGGAUAACAGUCCAUUAAACUCGAAAGAUUUGACUUCGUCCUGCUUGGAAACGUCCUUAGCUCUACUUUCCUGCUUUCACCUCCUUUCAAAAUCGAAACAAUCUCUUUCACUCCAGGUCUACGUGACUCCUCAUCGUUCACACAUGCUCUUGCUGCUUGGAUCAUACGCUCCAUUGCAACCGAGUUCUUUCUAGUACGUGUCAGCCUUGGAUCUAGCAACUCCUCUAUAGCCUCCAUCCCUCUACGUAACAACGGUUUCGCCUGCCAAAAAUACGGUUAUUACACAAGUUUAACUACACUUGAACGUUCAUGUAUUUGACAAGUACUUUGGUCGUAGACCCGGUUCGAGUGACUACUUGGACGAAACUAAUAUUACACGAUGGGGUCUCGAACCCCAUGAUAUUAAAAAAUAUAUAUAUAUACAGAUUCUGGUGAACCAUGAACAGUUGAACCAUAAUUUUGUAGUUCAACCAAGCUUGACCGAAACCUGAAUUUAGCAGGCUAAUGUCACAAAUUAAAUGGCAUUUGGUUGGAAAUUACUAUUUAAUUUACCAUAUUUAGAAAUAAGUUAGUGGGGAAGCUUGUGGAAUUUAAGUUGCUACAAGUCAAUAGUUUUGGUUUACUAGUAAUUAUCUGAAAAUAAAAGAUAAGAAGACACUUACCCAAACUACCAAAUUUUCUUCACCAGAUGGUCUUCUUACUUCAAUUGGCUUUCGACCCGUUAUUAGCUCAAGCAACACGACUCCAAACGCGUACACAUCUGUCUUGUCUGAUAUCUUGCCGUGUUGAAAAUACUCUGGAGCUAGAUAACUACAACAAGUUUCCCAAAAUGUUUGCAUUACUUUUUAUUUCUAUAUAUAGUAAUGACUUUAUGGGAUCUUAAAGGUUUUUCAAGCUAGAUACCCGAAUGUUCCUUUCACGGUCUUACACAGGAAAGGAACCGAAGGUGCAGCUGUCCAAGUCGCCAACCCAAAAUCACACAACUGAAACAAAUAUGGAAAUUGUGAUUAAACAGUACACUGAUCAAUGACCACAAAGAGUGGUUAAGUCUCUUUACCUUUGGCUUUUUGUUUGAGGAAAGAAGAAUGUUAGAGGGUUUGAUGUCUCUAUGCACAACGCAUUGUUCAGUGCCGUUAUGUAAAUAGGCUAUGGCAUCUGCAAUCCCUAAGGCGAUCUUGUACCUUGUUGACCAAGGCAAACAAAAGGGAACCUUCACACCUCUCUUCUUAUUUUUCUUAUCUAAUUCAGAAAGCAAGGAAAAAUAAUAAUCAAUCUCUAACACAGCUUGCAAUUCAAUGGUUGUGGAAAGAGAAAAGAUCCGCUGAAGGGUAGUUACCGUGUAAAUAGUGCUCGAGGCUGCCACCAGAGACAUACUUGUAUACCAAGAAAGGCCCUUGUUCGGGAUCGAUACAGAACCCUAGAAGAGGCACAAUGUUAGGGCACUGAAGAGAGCUUGCAAUCAUCAACUCUCUGCAAAACGACUUUGGAGAUUCUGUAUCUUCUUUGUCAAGUCUUUUGAUAGCCAAGGCUUUUCUCCAAAUCCCCAUUCUGCCCCUAUAUACACAGCUACAAGCUCCUCUUCCCAACACUCUUCCUAACCAAAAUUACAUCAGAGAAUCACAUAACUCAUCAACUUUCAAGUAGGUGUGUUUUCAUAUGUUUUGGGGUUUAGGGUUUACCUUUUGAGAAAUUGCGAGUGGCGGUGACAAUUUCACUGUAGCUAAACCGGAUCAAGGUACUGGUCACUGGAGAAAUGCUCUUCUCAAGCGAAAGAGCCGUCGACCAGUUCAUCUCAACCGUCGGUUUAUCUGUCUCCCUAACCUCAUUCACCAGAAGAACCGUCGUCGAUCCUUCAGACACCUGAAAAGACUGACAAGAAGAUGAUGGUUCCUCCCUUCUCAUCUUCUCCAGCUCCACCUGUGAGCAAAGACUAAACCUAAAUGACGACUGUCCUGAAUAUGGGUCUGACUCAAUAAACGUUGGUCUUGUUUCCUCCAAAAGCCAAGCUUUGUUAUGCUCAUGAGAGCUCUCUGUGGUUCGACCAGAGAGGAAACAAGCGAAACCCAAAUCAAGAAUCAUUUUUUUUUUUUUUUUUUUCAAAAUGGGUUUUGAUUACUGAAGAGAUCUGAAGAAGAUCACAAAUCCAAUACCCCAGAAAACAAGAACAAAAAGAAAAGGGAGGCAGAAAGAAAGUGACAAGUUUUCUCUUUAAAUUUUUGAAAAGUGAAAAGUUGAUUCUUUAAUGCUUUUGCUUAUAGCACUCUUUGCAUUUAUAAAAUAAAAGAAAAGUUUCAAGAAGAAGAAAGAUGAAUUAAAUCGUCAGUGUAUUGUUUGAUGUUGGUGUGAUGUUGGAGCAAAGAAAAAGAGUGGAGGGGGAAGAUAAUUGUGAAUAUAUUAAUUAUUUUGAAUAAUUGUUAGGCUUACAGUUGGAAGACGAUAAUUGGGUAUUAAAUAAUUGUUUGAAUAAUUGUUAGAUGGUAAUACAGAAAGAUUAGUUGGUAAAGACUAAAGAGGUUGUUAAAUGCUAAAAGAGGGACAAGACCAGAGCCCACGACCACGAGAUGAUGAGGGUCAUAAUCAAUUAUGGAAAACUAGACUAAUUAGUUCUGACUCAAUUUUUUUUCUUUCUCAAAUACACAUUUACAUUUGCAAAGAGUUACAGUCAAUCAAAUGGUUAAAAUGAUUUAAUAUGUUUAUUUGCUGAAAAACAAUGUUUUUGAUAUGUUCAUCAUCCUAUAUCUUUAUGUUUUCUUCUCUCUUUCUUGGUGGGAUCAGAAUUUUAAAGUUACUAUAACAAAUCAAAAUGUUUUUUUUGAAACGCCUCGAUCCAAAAUUUUCAAAAAAAUCCAUUGAAAAUUCUAAGUAAAAGCUUAGAAGAUUUUACUAAAUAACAUAACGCCUAAUACUGGAAGCAUAUAUAGUACAAUUAUAUUAAAUGAGUACAUCCAAGUUCAUAACACUCGAUUCUCAAUGAUUUCAAUAAUUAAUCUCUUGCUCGAGACCAAACAAUUGAUCUUCACUUGCAUCACAAAAAAAGAAAGCAUGAAUACUUAACAUUUUUUUUUUUCUUAACAUUUUUACCAAAAAAAAAAAAAAAAAAAAAAUAUACAAUUACUUAGUGAUAGCGCUCAUUAUCACUCGCAUGCAACACAAUAUAACGGACAGCUUUGUCAAGCUCUAAGAUUCAUUUUAUUCAUCUGUUAAUCUGUUUUCAUUUUCAUAUUUAGUCAUUUUUCAUCCACUCAGCUAUUUUUGAAUACUUAGUUAUUUCUAUACACAUUUCUGACCCUGAAUACCACUUAUGUUCCAGAUCAUAUGGCAUGAAGCCAACAUACGGGUUAAAACCACUACAGCCGAAGGUCAGUCAUGGACUCAUGGUCAUCAACAAAGCUCGACCGGAAGCUCCCUCAUGUUAUGGUCUUCGACCAAGCUUGACCUGUAUGUCCCUCCUGGUCCUCGACCAAGAUCGACUCAAGGGCUUCUCAUUGUGCCCGACCAAACUAUCGUUUAUUCAGAUAAAUAACAUACCUAACAUCUUCUAGCAUCAUAUCAUCAUAGACUGAUACACAUAACAAAUCGUCAAAAGUAUUGGCUCUAAGUUGAGCUAAAUUGAUGAAGUUUAGAUUGUCGGCAAGUUUUAUACUAACUGCACAGCUUGAAGCAUGGAUUCAAGAUUUUCUCUCAAGCUCCACAUACGGAUCAAAAACAAAAACACAUAGAAUUACAAGUUUGGUGCCAAAUACUGAUACCUAUGUUCGGACAAAGGCAUUCUAUAUGAGUCUACCCUUCUCGCCACACACAAAACAGAAUAACGAACAGUCUCACUUAAAUUUUUUUUACUAUGCAGUCUCUCUUUUGGUAAAAAGUUAAAUUUACUUUGCAGUCUUUCAAACACUCUAUGACAAUGACACCUAAGUUUUGGCCCAUCUUGAAGUAAAUAAAUUCUAUAAAUUAAUACUCCGUAAAUUAAUAAAUUUUUCUGAUCCCAAGUUAUCCGGCUCAAAAUAUGACACAAAUCGAUAAAACAAUAAGAUAAAUUUUUCUUAGAAAAUUUAUGUAAAUAUAUGGUCCCAUUAAAAUUAUAAAUUAAUAAUUUAUAUGCAUAGACAUUUUAUAUAAGCACAACCUAAUCAUUAUAUUAAUUGUUUUAUAUUCACAAUGAAAUUAUCUUUAUAUUUUUUUAAAAAAAUUAAUAUAAUUUGAUGAGAUUUUGUAAAAUUAUAUCUAAAAUCCCAUUUAAAUUCUGUGAAACAUUUUUUAUACACACCAAAUAAUAUAAUAAAACUAAUAUAAAUUUCGAAUUUCAAAAGUUAAUUAAUGUAUAUACGAUAAAAUCAAAUUUUUUUAUUUUAUAAAAAUAUAUCUUAAAAUUAAAAAAGAACUAAAUUUUUCAAUAAAUUAAUAAUUCUAUAAAGUAAUAAAAUAUUAAAGUCCCAACAAUACUAAUUUAUAGAGUUCUUACAGUAUACAUGAAUAUUCCUCUAAGAAGAAAGUCAGUUCUCAAAAAAAAAAUCUCUCUGGAAAAAAGUUUUAUCUCUUGUGUUAUUUUUCCGUUACAAAGCCCAUUUAAUGUCCUUAGAUUUUUCCGUUACGAAGCCCAUUUAAUAUCCUUAGAUUCUUCCGUAACCAUAUAUAGUGAAACUCUAUAAAUUAAUAAUAUUGAAACUAUAAUAUUUUAUUACUUUAUAGAGUUAUUAAUUUAUAGAAAAAAAUUUCUGGAUUUUUUUAUAUUUUAUAAUAUCUUUUAAAGAUAAAAAAAUAAUUGAAUUUACCGUAUAUACAUUAAUUAAAUUUUUGGAAAUUUGAUUUUCAACUUAUUUUUAUUUUAUUUUUAGUGUAUAUAAAAUAUGUUUUAUAAAAUUUAAAUAUGGUUUAGAUUUAAUUUUACUAAAUAUUAGCAAAAUAUAUUGAAAUAUUAAGAAAAUAAAGAGAUAACUCUGUUGCGGAAUAAAUCAAAUAAUGCAACAUUUUUGUUUGUACUUAUAUAAAAUAUAUAUAUAUACAAAAAUUAUUAAUUUAUGAUUUUAACCGGACCAUAUAUUUACAUAAGAUUUUUAAAAAUAUUAUUAUCUUAUUAUUUUAUCGAUUUAUAUCAUAUUUUGAGCCGAUCCAAUUUGGGUUUGGAGAAAUUUAUUAAUUUGUAAUGUUUAUUAAUUUAUAGAGUUUUUGUAUACAGAUGUCUCCUCCAUAGGAAAAUUACAUUUCUUAGAUUACAUAAAUACAUUAAGAUCUAAUCUCAAUAUUGUGAAAAGUUAUAGUGCAGAAGAACAAGGUCCACAUAAUACUAGUGUACAAUUUCCUAGCUUUUAAAAUUAUUACUGUCCUUUUUAACCUUUUCUCCUUAGUCGUCGUAUAAUAUUUGUCGGUUUGCUGAGAUAUUUGUUUCACAGCGUCCGAGAAAAGAAAAAGAGCAUUUCGUCGUCUCUGAAGCGAAAACCCACCAAAAUCAAAAGAAAUGGCGGAUCAGCUAACGGACGAACAGAUCUCCGAGUUCAAGGAAGCGUUUAGCCUCUUCGACAAGGAUGGCGAUGGUUCGUCUCUUCUCAUCCUCCUCUCUCUCUCUCUCGCUGUUCCGAUCGAUGCUUUAUCGUCCUCAGAUUCAUAUCUUAUAUACUCUGAUUCGUGUGGUUUGCCUUCAUUGCUUAUUGUGAUUGAAUCGAUUGAUUUUAAGUCUCGUUUGAUGUCGUGUUUGGGUCUAGAUUUGGUUGAUGAUGUUCACUUGUUAUUGCUUCAUGUUCUAUCUUUCUUGAUUGUUCUAUCAAUGAUGUUUCUUUAGAAGCUGCGGUUGUGUUGAAUGCGGAUCCUAUUGGCUUAGUGAAUAUAUGAUCUCUCUUUUGGUCUCUCACUUCCCACUUGGAAGAAUAAUUACUGCGAUUCGAUUCAUUCAACAGUUUGCUUGUAACCAGAUUCAGGUGGUCUUUGUGUGUAUUCUGCAUUGCUUGCUUAAAUCAUGUUUUCAUCUGUAUAUCAAUCUGAUUCUUUCAUACUUGCUUGUAUUAUUUGGGAACAGGUUGCAUCACCACCAAGGAGCUGGGGACAGUGAUGAGGUCUCUAGGACAGAACCCAACAGAAGCUGAGCUCCAGGACAUGAUCAACGAGGUGGACGCGGACGGCAACGGCACCAUUGACUUCCCUGAGUUCCUAAACCUCAUGGCUAAAAAGAUGAAAGACACGGACUCGGAGGAAGAGCUCAAAGAAGCUUUCAGGGUGUUCGACAAAGACCAGAACGGGUUCAUAUCCGCUGCAGAGCUCCGCCAUGUUAUGACGAAUCUAGGCGAGAAGCUUACUGAUGAAGAAGUUGAUGAGAUGGUCCGUGAAGCUGAUGUUGAUGGAGAUGGUCAGAUAAACUACGAGGAGUUUGUCAAGAUUAUGAUGGCUAAGUGAUAUAUAUAUAUAUAUGGUAUGGUAAGAAGAAACUAAGAAGAAAGGUGGUGAUGAUAUAACCUUUUAUUGUCUAGAAAAAAAAAUCGAUCUGUUGAUUGAGCUUAGUAGUUUUCAAGGUUUUAACCUUAACAGACUUUGUUGGUUAACAAAUAUUUAUUUUGUGGGUUUUUUCUUUGCUGACAUGUUUUUUAGAUAUUGGUAGCUAGUGUUAUGAGUGUAUCGCCAAAAAACUUUCUGCGGGAAGAGGGCCCCAAUUACACGAAUUACGUACGAGUACGACAUAUGAACUAAUUCACCAUACUAAUAACCACGCAAACUGAUUUGCUGAUUUUGCGAUGUCACAUAAUAAUAUACAAUACUAGGGUCGGCCCGCCCUACGGGCGGGAUAUUAGUUAAUUUGAUAUUCACUAAAUGCUCGAGUUAAAAUUUGUUUUAAGAUUCAAGAAUUUGGUUAUUUAUUAUGUCUUACUUAUUAGUAUGCGGUGGUAUAGUUGUUUUUUGAUUAUUCUUGUUUUGGUAUUGUAUCAAAUUAACUAAUUGUCCAACUCAUAAUUAUAGAUGUACAAAUGUGGAUUUGUGAUAAAGUUUGAUGACAAUACUGUUUUUUUUUAAAUUCUUAUUCAUAGUGGAGUGUGCAUGUGUCAGAAAGAGGCAUAUAACAACUUUUAUGUUUUCGUGUAUGGAUUUUAAAUAUAUAUUAUUUUGUAUAAUGCAUACUUGCUAUACAACAUUUGCUUGUAGACUAAAAAAAUUGUUUUCUAUAUUUUUAAAAGAGAAAAUAUUUAGUCUAGAAUAUAACAUGGACAUAUGUAUUGACUAUAUAUAGAAGUUGAGUGUUAUUUUAAAAUGACAUAUAUAUAGAGAUUUUUCAACCAUUACUUCACUGACACAAAACAUUUAUAACUGUAAAUACCUUCUUUUAAAAGCAAAACUAAUAAAGCGUGUACAACAAAUGUAUUUUGAUAUAUAUUAUAUGCAUCAAAUUAUAAAGGUUGGAAACAUUGCAAAACUGUUUGGAGCAAAGUUUUUAACUUCAAAAUCUUCAUCUUGGCGUCAGUUCAGUGUCGGCCCUGGCCACAAGCAGAAGAAGCAUGGGCUUCCAGCUGACACAAUAAUAAGUAUUUUCGCGGCCACAUAUUUAUAAAAAGUGACUUUAGCCUAGUGGUUCUAAGAGAAAUUACCAGUGCUAGAGGUGCUGUGUUCAAUUACCCUUAACUGCAUUCAUUUAUUUUGGCUCUAAAUAUAAAAUGGGACACGUGUCACUCCCAUAACGCACGACUUGAUGACGUGGCUUCACGGGAGAGAGGCGAACAUUUCUUUAUAUAUAUAGAUGCUCGAAUGGUGGCUCAUAGCACUUUUUUAGAAAGUUGGGAUUUAGAGAAGGAUGGAGUCUGUGACAUAGUGGUGUGAAACAAGUCUAUGACAUAGUGAUUCUUUAUCAUCAUCACAUCUUAUUCAAAACGAGCAUAUUAAAUAAUGACAAACAUAUAGGUUUGUUUAUAAAAGAUCGCCUUGAAAUCCUCCGAGCAAUAAACUAAUUAUCUCAAGUUUUCCUAUGAUAAUUUGCUCUUACGUCGAUAAUAAGAAUCAGCGGACUUGAGAUUAUGGGAUUUCUCAGGAUUGAUGUGGAGCCAUAAGACAAAAGAUCAUCUCAUUUACAAAGUUUUGUAUUUGUGAAUAUUAAAACUAAAAAUAAUAAUGAAAAUUUUAUGUUUUUUAUAUAUGAAUAUCUUACGUUAAAAAUUCAAAUACUAUGAUAAAAUCUGGUAUUUUUAUUCAUUAAUUUUAACUAAAAUUUGCCUUUUAUACCUAAUCAAAUUUUAUUUGAUAGAUUUUAUUGAUGAAAAUCUAUAAAUUAAUAAGUUGAUAUAUCAAUUUUUUUAUAAAUUUUAAUGGAAGGGAGAAUUUUUUAAAUGAAAUCUUUUCAAAUCAAUAAUCCAGUAUGCGCAUGGCUUAUGUUAUAAAGAGUCUAAUACUGAUUUUUAUAUACUAACUAGAUAACGCCCGUGCGUUGCAACGGAUUUUGUUUGAUGUUUUAGUAAAAAAAUAAAAAUAAAAAAUCAUUUUAUUAUAGAUUGAGAAAUACCCUAGGAUAGCACCUUAAAAAGUUCUUGUCACAAAUAUAGACUCUAAGGAUCAAAAUGACCAAAAUGUUUCAUUGAAGAGCUAAAUAUAUAUUUAUAUCCCUAGGGUUAACUAAUCCAAAACUUAUAGGGUUUAAGUUAAGGAGGGGGGAAGGGAUUUGGGAUUGAGGUUUAAAAUUUUAUAAAAUAAAAAAUAAAUAUUAAAAAUUUGAAAAUAAAAAUAGUUUCAAAAUUUAAUUUCGAAUUACAAAAAGAAAAUUUGAAAAAAAAAUAAAAACAAAUUUUCGAAAUUUUUUUUAUAAAAAGUUCAAUUUUGAAAACAUAUAAUCUAAAACUAUAAAAAAAAAUUUAUAUAUAUCUAGGGUAUUAAGGUCUUUUUACCUAUUAAAUAAAACAUUUUGGUCAUUUUACUCCUUGUGUCUAUUUUUGUGACCAAAACUUGAAAAUGGUCUAUUUAGGAAAAUUGUCCUUAUAGAUUGAGGAUUUUUUUUGUUUGCAUAAGCUGUGAGAUAUUUAUUUUAUAAUUACAAACUCAUUUACAUACGUAAAUUCCAAUUAGUAUUUGUAUUUAUAAUCAUGGUGCAUGAUAAAUUGUUAUCAACUUUGUAUUUAAGGCUAGAGAAAACACUCAUACCUAAAAAUUUAAACCAAACUCAACCAAAGUAAAAAUUAAAAUGAAAAAAUUGAAAGCUAAAUAAGGUCAAUC
This 46241-nucleotide long non-coding RNA is filed under the name Brassica napus (rape). Its description in RNAcentral is "long non-coding RNA (BNAP_LNC010865)". Lineage: Eukaryota; Viridiplantae; Streptophyta; Magnoliopsida; Brassicales; Brassicaceae. The record is from RNAcentral.